CCCCUUCUAAAGAUCAAGGUCGCUACACACGGUGGAAAUCUCUCGGUCUCUCUCCCAACGCGAGAGGCGGUUUCCAGGCGGGCUGCCUCCACUGGUCUCCAUCGCCUCCGGUAAGCCGUCGGGCUCUCGGAGGUGUGCGGGACAGUGUACGACCGCGAGGCGGUUGUAGAUAAUGUUGUUUUAGAAUUUUAUUCUGGCACUGGCGGGCAGGUAGGGGCGACGUCAACGCUGUGGGAUAAGGUUCCCCCUGGCUCCUUUCCCGUCUCCGCGGUGAUCCCUCCGGCCGGUGGCACUGCGGGGUUAGGGAGGUUGGCCUCUCUCUUAUCCGGCGAGGUUUGGUCGGUGAUGGGGGUGCACAAUAGUAUAGAAGUUGGGAUUUGUGGAGAGGGAUUCCCAGAUCAGGUCGCCUCGGACGGCCGACAGCUGCGCACUGUUGCGGGCGAAGUGGUUUGAGUUGCGGCUCCACUCCGUCAUAGGCUGCCGCUGGUCAAGGGAUCACUUGGUCUACCCCAGGCCGAUGCACCAGAACCCUCCCUGGUUCCGUCUUUUGGGGAGGGACUUAUAUGCGGCUCACAAAGCCAUGGAUUGGCGAUGCUGCUCCUCAUGCCCGUUGUCUUGUGGAUGACGGCUAGCACCGGCGAGUGCAGAGAUCAGCGUGCCUGGGUGAAUAAGGAAGAUGAACUGGGCUGUAAGUUACUUUGUUUUCUCUGUCGGCGUUAUUCCCUUUAGUGUUAUCUCUGCCUCUCUAGUUCUCAACCUCCAACGACAUGCCCUUUUUUGUGCUGGCCAUGGAGGCUAGCAGCGGCAGGACUGCCAUGACUAGGCCGCGCAAUAUUUCUAACAGUGUUGAGCUACUCGUUCCCGACAGCUCCGGUGCCAAGCUGCCAAGCAGGUAUGUGUGUGAUGGAUCUUUUAAUUUUAAGUUUGCUUCCUGUUCGAUUAGGUGCAUAUUUCGCAAGAUAAUGUUGUUCUAUCAUGUCUCUGAUUUUGAUUUCGAUUUUGAUUUUUCCUGCAGAUUUCAGGAUAUAGAAGGCAGCUUCAGGAAGGGGUCGCUGACGAGGUGAGACCAUUGCGUCUAUUCUUGUGUUAGUUUGUUUCAAAGAAAUCACACUAAUUUCUCUCAGUAUACUCUGCAGAGAAAUAAGUACUGAAGCAGGCUUCACCGAAGACUACUGAUCUAGAAUUGUUUGUUGCUGAAAUAAGUCCAGGAGCGGUGGAGCAGGCUGAACAAUUUUCUGUUGAUUUUACUGAAUGGAUUGUCCCUGUAAUUUGACCAAACGUCAUGUCGCCGUGCCACUGAAGUUUUUGCACAGAAUUCUUGUCUUUUUGGGUGGUGCCAAGCUGUCUUUUUGUUGAACAAUGCCACAAUUGCAUAGUUGUAAGUUAUUUAGGAUUGUCUCUAUUGCAUACGACCUGGAGUUACAAGAGGUCCAGUACUAAUUUUGUGUAUGUAUGUACAUGUGCAGUCACCCAUUUUCUAUACACAAGAUUCCAAAGCAUCUUUUACUGUACAUUUUGUUUCUUUUCUCGGUACAAAAUGUAUUGCAAGUGUUGUUCAUUUUUUCCCUUCUCUAAAUAUACUAGAGACCCUCUAAGGGCUCAGUUUUCUUCCCGUUUGUCUGAAUAUACCCAGAUUUAUUUUGUGUGUGCGUAUUUAACAAAGCAUUUAGUUAACCACUUCUACUUCAUUCUUGUUUGUCGUGAAACCACAUAUAAGUGUGUGCUCAAGUUAUAGUAUGUAUGUUAGGAAAUACACAGGAGCUCCCGGGUGCUUCUCUAUAUUAUGAAUAUUAAACUUAAAAAACUCUGGAAUUUGAGGAUAUCAAACCCGGGUGCCCAAUCCACUCCCGGGUGAAGUUUCGUGAAAAAAGUGGCGAAGGAAAUAUAGUCCAAACUAAAAUCUGUCCAAACAUUUUUUUACGUGCAUAGUUUUCUUCUAUCUUUUUUUUUUUGCCAUGGAUACAUUUCAUGGUAUUUUUUCACGAAAUUUCAUACGAAAGUAGAUUCAACACCCAAGUUUGAUAUCCCAAAAUCCCCCCAAAGAAUAAAAUUUUCUGGUGAUUUUUUGAACUUAAUGUUCAUAUAGGGGGUGGAGCACCCUCGUGCUACAAAUCCUCUUCUGUAUGUUAAUAUAAUGUCUUGAUUGCUAUCUUCAAGAUAUUAUUAUGUGUUAUUUGAUAUGAUUCUUUUUUCGCCAAAUCUUGCAAAGAGGUUUGGAAUGUUACAACAUCAAUUUAUUUUGGAUGUCAUCAUUAUAUUUUGGUCAUGGUUGGCAUGUCGCAUCAUAUAAUGCUCAUAUUCAUGUAGAGAUGACAUGUGCGUGACAUGGGCGGGUUGCGGGUCAGGAUAGGUUUUUAACCCAUUGGACUAGGAUAAGCUUGUAGCCAUCGCAAGUUGCCACAUGCGUGUGGAUGGAUUUUAAAUUUGCUGCAUGCUCCGUCCCCUGGUAAAUGAUACUGUGAGCAAUGAGAAAGGUGAGUAGGGAAAAUGACAAGUCUUCUCACGAGAUGAAUUCGGAAAAUGUUUCGUUUGGAUUAAAGAGUUUAUUGAUUGGAAACCUAUAUUUGAUCAUGCGUGACAUAUACACGUCAACAAUAUAACAUACACGUCAACAAUAUAACAUCGCUUUGAUCAACGUCUACAUACAUUUGUUAUUGUCUCCUACAUAUGGGUCUCUGACAUAACUUAAAUCCACCUAAUCUUAUAAGAUCCGUAGCGUAGCACAGGCAUCUUACUAGUCACUAGAGGCUUUUAUGUAGGGUAGAACCCUAGAUGCCCGAUCUUUCAUGAUUUAAGGGGAUCCUACGAAGAACACGAAGAACAUGAGGGAAAAAACAAGGGGAACACGAGAGGAAACACAAGAGAAAUCACUCAACCAACAAGAUUCGGUCACACAUAUGCUAGAUCCUCGAAACACAAAGAGUGAUACAUGAUUCAAGGUCAAGAAAGGACGAUAUAAAAGGUCUUCUCCGUGAGGAGGUCUUGAAGGGUCUUCCUGUGAUGGGGUCUUGAAUCCGCUUGGGGGAUCUUCUCCGAAGAGGUCGUGAGCUUCGAGGAGAAGUAACCAAGUGGAUGAGCAAAGCUCUAUCUCAAAUAUGAGCUAUCACAAUGCUAACCCUAGAAAGUGGGCGGAGGAGGUCUAUUUAUUAUAUAUAGUCUUAGUGGACGAAAGGGUAAGUGGCUUCGGCCCAACACGCGGGUGGUCACACAGGCGUCGGACGUCCGACGGUCACCGGUCGUCCGAAGGCUCGCGGGGGUUCGAACGUCCGGUGCCGGUCAGGGUCCGAUGUUUCGGCUCUCAUCAAGACUUGUCAGUCGUCCGGUCAGGGUCGGUCGUCCGGAGGUCUCAAUUCUUCCGACGUUUUGGCUCGGGUGUGGUGGUGCCGGUCGUCCGGUGUCGCUCGGUCGUCCAGACGCUGGGAGGUGUCGGUCCUCUGGUGUUGCUCGGACGUCUGGGCCCUGGAGUGUGCGCUGGCUGGGACUUGGUUGGCGGUCGGAGCCUCCAGGCGUUGGACGUCCGAGAGACAUCGGUCAUCCAAUGAUAAGGAGUUUUGAGCAGUCCUUCUUGUUGUCCAUUGAACUUGGUGUCCUCGCCGUCUCGUCUGUUGGGUGUAGCUGAUCCAUGGCUUUCCUCCAAAUACCUGAUCACACAUAGGGUCUUCGCAUGAGCUAGUCACAAUAAGAUUCAUCACCCUCCGAAAUAGUGGUAUCAUUACUUCCUAAAGUUAACACUCUUCCAAACCCACUUUCAUCAAUAUAAUCAUCAUAGAUAGGAGGCAUGCUUUCAUCAUAAUAAAUUUGCUCAUCAAAACUUGAGGGACAAAAAAUAUCAUCUUCAUCAAACAUAGCAUCCCCAAGCUUGUGGCUUUGCAUAUCAUUAGUAUCAUGGAUAUUCAAGGAAUUCAUACUAACAGCAUUGCAAUCAGGCUCAUCAUACAGAUAUUUUAUGCCAAACAUUUUAUAGACUUCUUCUUCUAACACUUGAGCACAAUUUUCCUUUCAAUCAUUUUCAUGAAAGACAUUAAAAAGAUGAAGCAUAUGAGGCAACCUUAAUUCCAUUUUUUGUAGUUUUCUUUUAUAGACUAAACCAGUGAUAAAACAAGAAACUAAAAGAUUCAAUUGCAAGAUCUAAAGAUAUACCUUCAAGCACUCUCCUCCCCGGCAACGGCGCGAAAAAAGAGCUUGAUGUCUACUACACAACCUUCUUCUCGUAGACUCGUGUUGGGCCUCCAAGCGCAGAGUUUUGUAGGACAGUAGAAAAUUUCCCUCAAGUGGAUGACCUAAGGUUUAUCAAUUUGUGGGAGGCGUAGGAUGAAGAUGGUAUCUCUCAAAAAAAACUGUAACCAAAUAACAACGAGUCUCUUGUGUCCCCAACACACCCAAUACAAUGGUAAAUUAUAUAGGUGCAAUGGUUCGGCGAAGAGAUGGUGAUACGAGCGUAAUAUGGAUGGUAGAUAUAGGUUUUUGUAAUCUGAAAAUAUAAAAACAGCAAGGUAGCAAUUAACAAAAGUGAGCGAAAAUGGUAUUGCAAUGCUUCGAAACAAGGCCUAGGGUUCAUACUUUCACUAGUGCAAGUUCUCUCAACAAUGAUAACAUAAUUGGAUCAUAUAACAAUCCCUCAACGUGCAACAAAGAGUCACUCCAAAGUCACUAAUAGUAGAGAACAAACUAAGAGAUUUGUUGCAGGGUACGAAACCACCUCAAAGUUAUUCUUUCUAAUCGAUCUAUUGGGCUAUUCCUAUAAGUGUCACAAAUAGCCCUAGAGUUCAUUCCAAAAUAACACCUUAAGACACACAUCAACCAAAACCCUAAUGUCACCUAGAUACUCCAAUGUCACCACAAGUAUCUGCGGGUUUGAUUAUACGAUAUGCAUCACACAAUCUCAGAUUCAUCUAUUCAAACCAACACAAAGAACUUCAAAGAGUGCCCCAAAGUUUCUACCGGAAAGUCAAGACAAAAAUGUGUGCCAACCCCUAUGCAUAAGUUCACAAUGUCACAGAACCCGCAAGUUGAUCACCAAAACAUACAUCAAGUGGAUCACGUGAAUAUCCCAUUGUCACCACAAAUAAGCACAUGAAGACAUACAUCAAGUGUUCUCAAAUCCUUAUUGACUCAAUCUAAUAAUAUAACGUCAAAGGGAAAACUCAAUCCAUUACAAGAUGGUAGAGGGGGAGAAACAUCAUAAGAUCCAACUAUAAUAGCAAAGCUCGCGGUACAUCAAGAUCGUGCCAAAUCAAGAACACGAGAGAGAGAGAGAGAGAGAGAGAGAGAGAGAUCAAACACAUAGCUACUGGUGCAUACCCUCAGCCCCGAGGGUGAACUACUCCCUCCUCAUCAUGGAGAGCACCGGGAUGAUGAAGAUGGCCACCGGUGAUGGAUGCCCCCUCCGGCAGGGUGCCGGAACACGGUCCUGAUUGGUUUUUGGUGGCUAUGAAGGCUUGCAGCGGCGGAACUCCCGAUCUAGGUUCUGUUCUGGAAGUUUGGGGAUAUAUAAGAGGUGUUGGCAUCGGGAACAAGUCAGGGGACCCACGAGGCAGCCACAAGGUAGGGGGCGCGCCCUAGGGGGCGCGCCCUCCACCCUUGUGGUGGCCUCGGGACUCUUCUGGUCCGUCUCCGAUGCUCCAUGGGGACGUAUCAAUAAUCAUGAGUAGCAUUCAUAGCAGAAGUAGCAUCCUCAAUAACUUGUGACAUAUCAGAAUUAAUAGCAAGUGGUGGUGUUGCAAGUUUACUUAUAACAGAAGGUGAAUCCGGUGCUGAGCUAGAUGGCAGUUCCUUACCUCCCCUCGUCUUAGAGGGAAAAAUCUUAGUCUUAGCAUCCUUCAGAUUCUUCAUAGUCAUAAUUUGAUAAUAAUCGACUCAACAAAUAUAUCUAUGCUCCCCGGCAACGGUGCCAGAAAAAGGUCUUGAUAACCCACGAGUAUAUGGGAUCGCAACAGUCUUUGAGGGUAGAGUAUUCAACCCAAAUUUAUAGAUUUGACACAAGGGGGGCCAAAGAAUAUUUGCAAGUUUUAGCAGCUAAGUUGUCCAUUCAACCACACCUGGAGAUUAAUUAUCUGUAGCAAAGUGAUCUGUAUCAAAGAAGUAUGAUAGUUUUGAUAGUAAUGGUAGCAGCAACAGUAACGGUAAUAGUGAUAGCAGUAGUUUUGUAGCAAGUAUAAUUGUAACAACAAUAGUAGUAACUUAGCAAAAUCAAUAUGUAGGAAAAUCGUAGGCAUUGGAUCGGCGAUUCGUUGGAUUAUAUUCAUCAUGAGACAGUCAUAACCUAGGGCGAUACAGCACUAGCUCCGGUUCAUAAAUAUAAUGUAGGCAUGUAUUCCAUAAAUAGUCAUACGUGCUUAUGGAAAGAACUUGCAUGACAUAUUUUGUCCUACCCUCCCUAAUAUUCAAUCCAGCACAAAGAACCUCAAAGAGUGCCCCAAGAUUCCUACCGGAGAAAGAAGGACGAAAAUGUGCUUCAACCUCUAUGCAUAGAUUACCCCAAUUUCACCUUAGGCAUCUUCAACUGCAAAAGUUUCUUUCAGCAAGCUUUUCCAUGUUGAUAUAUCUGGAUGGUAUGAGUUUCAAAAGAUUUUCUUAGAGACCUUAGGUAAAUUUGGCUAUAAUGGCCCUCCAUAUCUUAGGAAUGAUCCUGCAAAAUUCCUAUGUAUCCAUGGCUAUGUCUCAGUUUCACAUGAAUUUAUACAUACCGUCUAGCUCAUUUUUGUGCCUUUUUUUGGAAUUCCUAUGCAUUUCUGACCAAUGUGAGUUUUCUCUUAUAAUCUGAAGAGUCCUUAAGAUUGUCGUUAUAUUAUAACUAACUAACUGAUAAUAGAAGAGUUCAAGGGUUUAUCACGUUCUACCAUUGGCAUUCAUUAGGAACCAAGACGGUAAUCCUCCAAACUUUUCAACAACUUCCUAUGUUUUUUUGCACGUAGGCACAAUAAAAAGUUGAUAGAAACACUACUUAAAAAAUUAAAGGCCUCAUUUACUGGUUUACACAUGCUGUUAGGUAUACGUAUAUUUUUAGAACUAGAAUAUGUGUUUUAUAAACACCUUUUUUUAACACACACCAAAGUAUUUUUUUUGUGCAUAAGGAUCUAACGUCUUAGCAUAUGUAUUUGCUCAAACAGGAGAUUACUAAAAAAGUACACGUAUUUUCAAGGAUAGCUAAUUUUGAAUGGGGCUCUAUUCUACCAAAUUACAAUGUGUAUAUACAUCUCAUGUGGACAACAAGCCAUCGUUUUUCCUAUUAAAGAAAAUUAAAUUUGUUGUCAUAUGUGCUUUCCCACAACUAAUAAACCAACUGAGUCAUGGAUUUUGUUCUGAAUGCAACACUGUGCUGCCAAAUUAUAAUUUGUAUAUACAUCUCAUUGUAGACAACAAGCCACUAUUUUUUUUUCUUAAAAAGAGAUUAAAUUUGUUGUCAUAUGUGCUUGCCCUCAACUAAAGCAACAAAGCAUAGAUUUUCUUUUCAAUGUGGUCAUGAAUUUAGCGGGUCUCUGCGCCAUUUGAGACUUUACACAAUCAAAUAGGAAUAUGUGAUAUCAUUGUACACAACAACAAAUCAUUUUUUUGCCAAAGGAUACUUCAUUUAUUAUCAGAAGUGCUUUCCCAGGCAUAUAUUUUGUUUAAAUUGAGACUCUAUGCUAUCAAGUUAAAAUGUGUAUAUUCAUCUCAUUGUACACAGCAAUCUAACAUUUUCCUAUUAGACGGGAUUAAACCAUGGAAUUUAUUUUCAUCACGGACAUGGCUUUAGCGUGGCUCUGCGCCAUUUGGCGCAACGGGUCCACUAGUAAAAUAAACAAAAGAAGGACACUCUCUCUCGAAGCCUAUGAUAUAUACACUUUCUCCCCCUUUGGCAACAAGUUACCAAAAAGCUCAAAAGCGUAUAGUGCUAUACAAAACUCUAGGCACAAUUUUCGGGAGCUCCUGAAGGGGUCUUCUGGCUUGUAGCUCCGGUGUGCGUAGAGGCGUUGAAAGGAGUCCAUCUGCAAAUGCCUCAACUGAAGUCGGUGGAUCUAGUAGAGUAGAUACUGGAGGAGCAACUGUGGUUGUGGUGGGAGGAGCAGAAUGAGCAAGCCUCAAAUCUACAACUAUCUUAGUAGCAGACCUCUGUGCCCUUGGCACUAACUGGAAUCUAUGUGUAGUUGGCCUGUCAUGAUUUUCAUCAACAUCAUCUCUGAGCUUCUCCACUAUGGUUUGAAAAACUGUUACCUUCACAUCAAGGUCAUACAUCUUGCUCUCGACAAUCCUCUCUAGGCUCUCCUGAUUCCGAGUCAAGGUGGCCAAGCUCUUCUCAAUCCUCACGGUAGCCUCUAGUAGAUAUGUGAGAUGAUCUUGCUUAGACUUGAGAUUCACUAUUGAAGCAUCGAGAGCACUUGCUGCUUUUUGCAGCCUUUGCCUUCUCAAUCUUCUCGUCGGCCUCUGUAGAAGUAGGAUGUGAUGCGUCCAUGACAACUUCAUUGUCCUCAAAAUCAGGCCUAGGAGGUAGAUGCUCUUUGUCAAGGAGAUAUGUCCUUUCCAACCUUGGAGUUGAUCAACAUCUGAAUGUGUGGGGCAUAUCCACAUGACCUCUUCUGGUCGGCUGUUGUCCUCUUGAUUGUCUCAACUAUCAAACUCAUGACUUUCAAUUUCUUGAGAAUAUCAAACAAGUGUAGCAAGUUGAUAGAAUGACCAUGCAUCAUCCUAUGAUCUCCAGACUUAGGCAACUAAGUAUGCCUCAAGAUGGUGUUCAUGGUGGUCAAUCCAGCAAGCAAAUAUUAGAUUGAUCCAAGCUUGUGAGUCUCCAGAGCUGUAUCAGGAAUGGGCUUAUACAUGUUAGCCAUGGAGUUGUGAUCCUUCCUGGGUUUGCCAUAAACAUCCAGAUCAUCUUCUUCUUCCUUUGGACAAUUGAUGAGCUCAUCCCAUUCAGAGAUUGAUGACUGGUACCUGGUUCCCUCAGUCAUCCAGAGAAGCUUUCCAUCUUGGUAGAAAUGGGCAGUGGAGUAGAACUGCAUAAUCAUCUCAUCAUUCCACUUAAUCAGUUCUUGUCCAACAAAAGUAUCAACUCCAUUCAGCCUGAAGCUCUCGUGCCCAUGGGGAAAGUAAUCUUCAUUUUCAUCAAUAUAUUCCCAAUCAACCCGUUUCAUGCCACAUACUAUGGGCUUCUUGUCCAGCAACACAGUCUCAUAGAAGUCAUGUUGUUCUAUGGUAUGAAAACAAUAGUCCACAACAGUCCUUCUACUUGUGGAAUAUGGAUCAGUCUUUCUCCAUUGUCUCAGACAUGCAUCCUUUCUUAGCUUCAUGUUCUCAGCCACUAGAUGAUCAUCAUUAUGGUUUGGAAUCUUUGGCUUCAAUUUCCUGAGCACUAGUGGCUCGUCAUCCUCUUGGACCUCAGGCACUGGGCCUUCUUUUUCUCUACAGCUAGGAUAUUUCUUAUGGAUCUCUUUGGAGCAGUUGACUUGGGUGCUUGAGCUGGAGCUUUGGGCUUGGGCUUGGUCUUGGAGGGCACAGCAGUAGACUUCAUAGCAUUACUCAUGAGCUUUUGAGUCCUGGCAGGGGGUGCAGCUGGUUCUUCUUCCUCCUCCUCAUCUUCAUCUAUCCUCAUAGAUGGUUUCCCAAGCACUCUUGCAGUAGUUGUUCUUACCCUCAUCUUCUUUCCUCUAGCAGCCUCAUCAUAUCAGAUUGUUCAAGUGUGAACUGCAUAGUUUCUCGAGUUGAAGCUCUGAUUUUGGACAUUGGAGCUCUCCUAUCAGGAGCUUUCUUUUGCAGACCUGGCUUGGUGAUGGCAGCAGCACCAACAUAUUCUUUCUUCACAACUUUCUUCUUGGAAGUCACUUCUUCCUCAAUCACAAAAACCUCAUCUUCACUGUCAGAAUUUCUCUUCUUCCUCUAUCUGGUAGCAGCUUUUGGCAAGUUGCUAGGAGUGCUUCUACCGCCAUCAUCAUAGUUUUGCUGCUAGAACUAGUGCCAUGACUGAGGUUGACUUGCUCCUCUGACCUGUUCUGACUAUCACUGGCCUCUGACAUCUCUGUGAAUAGAUGGAUAUGUUGGGAAACGUAGCAUGCAAUUUCAAAAAAAUUCCUACGCUCACACAAGAUCUAUCUAGGGGAUGCAUAGCAAUGAGGGGGAGAGUGUGUCUACGUACCCUCAUAGACCGUAAGCGGAAGCGUUUCACAACGCGGUCGAUGUAGUCGAACUUUCUUCGGGAUCCAUCGAUCGAGUACCGAACGUACGGCAACUCCGAGUUCUGCACACGUUCAAUUCGGUGACGUCCCUCCCUUCUUGAUCCAGCAAGACGUGGAGGUGGUAGAUGAGUUCCGUCAGCAUGAUGGGAUGGUGACGGUGAUGGUGAAGUGACCCGCAUAGGGCUUCGCCUAAGCACUACGAAUAUAUGACUGUGGGAGUAAACAGUGGAGGGGGGCGCCGCACACGGCUAACAAUUGUCUGGCGUGUGUUAGGGGGCGCCCCCCCCCAUAUAUAUAGGUGGGAGGGAGAGGUGAGAGGCUAGGAGGUGCCCCAAGUAGGACCGAAUCCUACUUGGGUUCCUCCUAGGCCGCCCCCCUUCCUUAUUUAUCGGAGGGGGAAGGAAAGAGGAGGGAGGAGGGAAGGAAGGGGGAGGCCGAAUUGCCCCUUUCCUUCUCCCUUCCCCUCUUUCCUUCUCCUCUAGUUCGGCCCAUAUGGGGGGCGCACCAGCCCCUGGGGGCUGGUGCGUUUCCCCUCUUGGCCCAUUAGGCCCAUAUCUUUUGCCGGGGGUGCCUGGAACCCCUUCUAGUGACCCAAUAUGUACCCGGUACCCACCGGAACACUUCCGGUGUCCGAAUACUAUCGUCCUAUAUAUCAAUCUUUACCUCUCGACCAUUUCGAGACUCCUUGUCAUGUCCGUGAUCUCAUCCAGGACUCCGAACAACAUUCAGUCACCAAAUCACAUAACUCAUACAAUACUACAUCAUCAUCGAACGUUAAGCGUGCGGACCCUACGGGUUCGAGAACUAUGUAGACAUGUGUCACAUCCCUGGUUCUGGUCUGCUCUGGGCUAGCUAGUCAUGUUUUGCACCAUCUUUAAUUUGCAGCUAAUCUUGAAAUGGGGAUUGAUCCAAACCCUAGCACCAAAUGAAUUCAAAUAGGAUCAAACAAAAUCAUUUUCAAUAAUCCCAAAAUGCUCCUGAGAAAAGUUCAUCAUUUUUGAAUUGGUUGAAAACCUCUGAAAAAAAUGGUGCACAUUCUUCUAGGUCAUCUCUGGAUUAUUGAAUUAAAUCAUAAAGUAUUUGAAUUUGGGCAUUUAAUGCUUAUAAAUAUUUUAAAUGCCCAAAUAAUUCUGAAAGUAAAUGAAGGCUGUUGGAAAUAAUUCAAAUUGUGCCUACAAUUUAUUUCAGGAUUUUAUUAAGUGCCUUAGUAUUUUCACUAAAGCCAAAACAGAGACAGAAUUAGAAAACAGAAACAAAAAAAGAAGAAAGCUCGCUUGACCUUACCUGACUUAGCCCACCUGGCCCAGCACUGUGCAGCCCAUCCGGCCACAGUGCCAGUCAUCUCCCACCUCUCGCCAGUAGGACGAGAGCCGUGUGGCCACCAUGCACGCACACACGCCCCGGCCACCUCCUGCUUGCCGCUCCCCCCCCCCUCGAUGCCCUGGCCUUCUCUAGCGACGCCACACAUCCCCCUGGUCGCCUCUCACCCUCUCUCGAGCUUGACCCCCUUCUCAACUCUCCCUCCCUCUCUGCCCGAGCGGAACUCGCCGUCAUCGCCGCUGCCGUAGACGCAGCCUCCAUGCUCCCCUCGCCUCGGCAAUGCGCCAAGAAGCUCCGCCUCGUCCCCCUCUUCCUCCUCAACAAGACGGAAGGCACCGGAAGCCCAUGAUGCCGCCAGCUCCACAGUUCCCCUCCUCGGCCACCGAGGAUCGUCGUUGUCGAUUUGCCGCUGUCUCCGCCUCCCCGAGCUUGUUGAGACCGUCUUCGACCCCGCUGUGAGCUCCGCCUUCUUCUUCCCUGCUCCUCGUGCCCGUACGCACCUUCUAGCCGCCCGAGUCACCGGAGCCGUGAGCUCCCCGCCGCCGUCCAUGUCGCCGCCGUGGCUAGAGCUCACGUGCGUCGCGCCCGAGCACACUACCAUGCUCAGCACGUCCCCAGCAACUCGCUAACACCACCAUCUCGCCCAGAGACGCCCAGUAACGCCAAACCGAGCACGCCCGUAGCUCCGGUCGUCGCCUCUAUGCUCGCCGUCGUCAUCUCCGGUAACCCCGAGGCCUCCCGAUCACUCUGCUAGACGUGGUCGAGCGCGGGCUACCCCCUGGUGGCCUUCGCGCGUCCAGCCGCCGCCCGUAGCGCAUUUCUAAGCCGCGCUGCCGUUGUUUUGGUCGCCGCCUGCCAGGCUCCGGCGACACUGACGUGGUGGAUUAGUUUAGCGCUAAUGACGCUAUUAGUUAAUCGUGUGCCACUGACACCUGGGCCCCGUUCACUGAUUAACCCUGGUUUAGCUCUUGUUUAGAUUAAACUAACCCCAUGGGCCCCACAGGUCAGUUUGACCUAGCCACGUCACACGUUGACUGACCCCACACGUCAGAGUUGACUUGCUGACGUGUCUGUUGACCCGGCCCCACCUGUCAGCGACACUAACCAGCAUCGUGUCACUGACCAGUGGACCCCACUGGUCAGGUUUGACCCGGGGCAGCCCUGUUGACCCUGCUGAUGUCACCCUGACGUAGUUAAUUAUUUUUUGAAUUAAAAUAAUUUAGAAAUUCCAGAAAAUGCUCUAAACUUCUAAAAAUCAUAGAAAUUAAUCUAUAACUCCAAAUGAAAUAAGUUAUAUAUGAAAAAUGAUCAGAAAAAUCCAAUCUAUCCAUCUGCACUGGUUCCAUGCUUGUUAAAGCAACUUAAACCUGCUGUUUUUAUCAAAACAUGGUAAUGCACUUUAUAAAUUCAUAGUUUGAGUUUGAACUUGAACCUUGGGUUCAAAAUAACUCAAACCCAUCUGGUUGUAGUUACAUUAGGCCAACACACUCAUAUUGCCAUGUCAUGAUCAUGCAUCAUAUUGUGCAUUGCAUUGAUUGUGUUCCUUCUCUGUUGUUGGUGGUUGUUCCCUCUCGAUAGACGUGUUCCCGACGAUGAGUUCAAUGACACCAAUGAAGAGCUAUAUCAUCUUCAGAAGUACCAAGCAAGCAAAACCCCCUUGUUCAUUCUGAUACAAUCCCACUCUCUCGCUCCUGCUCUCUUUUACUGCAUUAGGACAACAACGAUUUGUCCGUUACUUGCUGCGGUAGUUGAACCCCUUUUCCUCUGCAUGACAUGUCAUAACCACUCAUUGGGAUCCUUAAUUGACCCUCUCGGCUUCUUAACCAUCCUUGUCCUCUGUCCAGGAGUUGCAAGUAGUUUCUGGUGUUUGUAGUAUGCUAGAGGCCAUGCACAGCGCUGACCCGAGGGGUGGGCUAUGAUGCGGUAGGCACGUGGCCGGGUAUGUCGGGCGCCCGUUUGGUGUCACGGAACCCUGUACACAUUGUUCGGGGCCAUAUGUGGAAACCUCGGCCGGACUCCCUGCGGAUGGAACCUGAAUAAGCGAUAAACCUGGACUAGAGACUUGAGUGUUUAGGUAGGCCAUGGCCGACACCCUCGUUGGGCUUCCGCUUGAAGGUUGCCGAGUACAUGUUGUGUAAACGACAGUAAGUGGUGAGAGCGUGUGUGAAGAAGUACACCCCUGCAGGGUUAACAUCAUCUAUUCGAAUAGCCGCGUUCGCGGUAAAGGACCUCUGGGUUGCCUAUAUAGUUCAUAGACAAGUGAAAGUGGAUACUCUAAAAUGCGCAAGAUAAGCGUGAGUGCUAUGGAUGGCGUUCUCGUAGGGAGACGUGAGUGGAUCCAUAGUGGUGUAUUGAUAUGGUGAAUAUGUGGACUCGUGUGCGCCACCUCAAAAGAGUUACUUGUAGUCGUAGUUCAGGAUAGCCACUGAGUCAAAGCUGGCUUGCUGCAGUUGAACCCCACCAUCCCUUUGUUGAUAAUGAUGCAUAUGUAGUUAGUUCUGAUGUAAGUCUUGUUGGGUACAUUUGUACUCACGUUUGCUUAAUUUAUGUUUUCCAGAGAUACUUCAGUCUCACUAGUAGUUCUACAUGGACUUCGAGGUUUAGCUUAAUACCUCAGCUACGAUCUUGUGCCCUCGGCAAGAUUUGGUAGAUAGUCAGGCUUCUCAGCCCCUUUUCAUUUGUAGUUGUCUGUACUCAGACAUGUUAAGCUUCAGCUUGUGCUUUGACUUGUAUGCUCUGAAUGUGGGGUCAUGAGACCCAUGUUUGUAAUAUCCCGUCCUCGGAGCGUAUUGAAUAAAUACUCUGAGUCAUAGAGUUAUGUUGUGAUGCCAUGUUGUAUUUGCACAUAUCGAGCAUAUUGUGUGUAUGAUUUGAAAUGCUUGGUAUGUGUGGGAUCUGACAACCUAGUUGUUCAUCCUUGGUAGCCUCUCUUACCGGGAAAUGUCUCCUAGUGCUUCCACUGAGCCAUGGUAGCUUGCUACUGCUCCGGAACACUUAGGCUGGCCGGCAUGUGUCCUUCCUCGUUCUUGUGUCUGUCCCUUCACGGAAAUGACACACAUUAUUCCUUUAAGUCCUUGUAGCUUGCUACGACUUGGGUUCAUACGUUGUUGAUCGACACGUUCGUUGUUGGGUCAUGUAUGCCUGUCCCUGUAAGUUAGCGCCACUUUGGGUCCACGACUAGUCAUGUCAGCCCGGGUUCUUUGUCAUAUGGAUGCUAGCGGCACUAUCAUAUACGUGAGCCAAAAGGUGCAAACGGUCCCGGGCCAGGUAAGGUGGCACCCGUGGGAAUACCGUGUGUGAGGCCGCAAAGUGAUAUGGUGUGUUACAUGCUAGAUCGGUGUGACUUAGGAUCGGGGUCCUGACAACAUGACCGAGACACCUCUCCAGUCAAUAACCAAUAGCGGAACCUGGAUGCUCAUAUUGACUCCCACAUAUUCUACAAAGAUCUUUAUCGGUCGAACCGUUAUGACAACAUACGUAAUUCCCUUUGUCCACCGGUAUGUUACUUGCCCGAGAUUCGAUCGUCUGUAUCUUCAUACCUAGUUCAAUCUCGUUACCGGUAAGUCUCUUUACUCAUUCUAUAAUACAUCAUCCUGCAACUAACUCAUUAGUUACUUUGCUUGGAAGGCUUCUUAUGAUGUAUAUUAUCGAGAGGGCCCAAAGAUACCUCUCCGAUACUCGGAGUGACAAAUCCUAAUCUCGAUCUAUGCCAACUCAACAAACACCUUCGGAGAUACCUGUAGAGCAUCUUUAUAAUCACCCAGUUACGUUGUGACAUUUGAUAGCACACAAGGCAUUCCUCCGGUAUCUGGGAGUUGCAUAAUCUCAUAGUCAAAGGAAUAUGUAUUUGACAUGAAGAAAGCAAUAGCAAUAAAACUGAAAGAUCGAUAUGCCAAGCUAACGGAUGGGUCUUGCCCAUCACAUCAUUCUUCUAAUGAUGUGAUCCUGUUAUCAAAUGACAACUCAUGUCCAUGGUUAGGAAACCUUAACCAUCUUUGAUCAACGAGCUAGUCAAGUAGAGGCUCACUAGGGACACGGUGUUUGUCUAUGUAUUCACACAUGUAUUUAGGUUUCCAAUCAAUACAAUUCUAGCAUGAAUAAUAAAAAUUUAUCAUGAAUAAGGAAAUAUAAAAUAACAACUUUAUUAUUGCCUCUAGGGCAUAUUUCCUUCAAUCUCCCACUUGCACUAGAGUUAAUAAUCUAGAUUACAUUGUAAUGAAUCUAACACCCAUGGAGUCUUAGUACUGACCAUGUUUUGCUCAUGGAAGAGGCUUAGUCAACGGGUUUGCUAUAUUCAGAUCCAUACGUAUUUUGCAAAUCUCUAUGUCUCCCUCCUUGACUUGAUCACAGAUGGAGUUGAAGCAUCUCUUGAUGUGUUUGGUUCUUUUAUGAAAUUUGGAUUCCUUCGCUAAGGCAAUUGCUCUAGUAUUGUCACAAAAGAUUUUCAUUGGACCCGAUGCACUAGGUAUUACACCUAGAUCGGAUAUGAACUCCUUCAUUUGCUGCUUCUGAAGCAUCUAUGUACUUUGCUUCACACGUAUAUCCUGCCACGACACUUUGCUUGGAAUUGCACCAACUGACAGCUCCACCAUUCAAAAAAUACGUAUCUGGUUAAUGACUUAGAGUCAUCCAGUUCAGUGUCAAAACUAGCAUCGACGUAACCAUUUACUACGAACUCUUUGUCACCUCCAUAAACGAGAAACAUAUCCUUGGUCCUUUUCAGGUACUUCAGGAUGUUCUUGACCGUUGUCCAGUUAUCCACUCCUGGAUUACUUUGGUACCUCCCUGCCAGACUUAUGGCAAGGCACACAUCAGGUCUGGUACACAGCAUAGCAUACAUGAUAGAACCUAUGGUUGAGGCAUAGGGAAUGACUUUCAUUUUCUCUCUAUCUUUUGCAUUGUUCGGGCAUUGAGUCUGGCUCAAUUUCACACCUUGCAACACAGGCAAGAACCCUUUCUUUGACUGAUCCAUUUUGAACUUCUUCAAAAGUUUGUCAAGGUAUGUGCUUUGUAAAAGUCCUAUUAAGUGUCUUGAUCUAUAUCUAUAGAUCUUGAUGCCCAAUAUAUAAGCAGCUUCACCGAGGUCUUUCAUUGAAAAACUUCUAUUCAAGUAUCAUUCUAUGCCAUCCAGAAAUUCUACAUCAUUUCCAAUCAACAAUAUGUCAUCCACAUAUAAUAUUAGAAAGAAAUGCUACAGAGCUCCCACUCACUUUCUUGUAAAUACAGGCUUCUUCGAAAGUCUGUAUAAAAGCAUAUGCUUUGAUCACCUCAUUACAGCGUAUAUUCCAACUCCGAGAUGCUUGCACCAGUCCAUAGAUGGAUCGCAGGAGCUUGCACACUUUGUUAGCACCUUUAGGAUUGACAAAACCUUCUGGUUGCAUCAUAUACAAUUCUUCUUUAAUAAAUCCAUUAAGGAAUGCAGUUUUGACGUCCAGUUGCCAGAUUUCACAAUCAUAAAAUGCGGCAAUUGCUAAUAUGAUUUGAACGGACUUAAGCAUCGCUACGGGUGAGAAAGUCUCAUCGUAGUCAACUCCUUGAACUUGUCGAAAACCUUUUGCGACAAGUCAAGCUUUAUAGACAGUAACAUUACCAUCAACGUACCACUCUGGUGUGGAUCGUGUUCUGGUUGACUGAUAACCCACAACUAUAGGGGAUCGUUUGUAGCCUUCUUCUAUAAAUAAGAGUGUCUAACCCAACGAGGAUCUAAAGGUAGAACAAAUAUUCCCUCAAGUUCUAUCGACCACCGAUACAACUCUAUGCACACUUAACGUUUGCUUUACCUAGAACGACAAUAAAACUAUUUUGCAAGAUUAAAACUACGAGUACUUUGCGGGAAUAAAACUAUGAAUAAAUUGCAAGGUAAUAAAAGUGGAUAACUUUUGUCAACAAGAAAGUCAUUUCUCCCUAGGCAAUCGAUAACAAGUAUUGGUAAACAUUCUUGCAAUUCUAUAUGAGGGAGAGACAUGAGCUAACAUACUUUCUCUACUUGGAUCAUAUGCACUUAUGAUUGGAACUAUAGCAAGCAUCCGAAACUACUAAAUAUAAUUAAGGUCAUGAAACCCAACCAUAGCAUUAAGUAUCAAGUCCUCUUUAUCCCAUACGCAACAACCCACCUACUCGGGUUUAAGGUUCUGUCACUUUUGCAACCCACCAUAAGCGAAUCAUGAACAUAUUGCAACACCCUACAUUGGGGGCCCUCAUGUUUACGCGAGAUAGAGGGCAUCGUAGGACAGCACCAUAAAUAAAAUAUAAAAUCAUACCAACCAAGAUCACAAUUAACCCAUAGGACAAACGGAUCUACUCGAACAUCAUAGGAUAGCCAAAUAUCAUUGGGAAAUAAUAUAUGGAGUUGAGCACCAUGUUUAAAUAGAGAUUACAGCAGGGAGAAGAGGUGUUACACCACUGCAUAGAGGGGGAGAGAGUUGGUGUUGACGGUAGCAAGAUUGUUGAUGUAGAUCGCCGUCACGAUCCUAGCCCCGGCGACACUUCGGCGCCGCCGGGAGAGAGGGGGAGAGAGCCCCCUCCUUCUUCUUCUUCGUGGCCUCCCCCCUAGAUGGGAGGAGGGUUCCCCCUAUGGUCCAUGGCCUCCAUGGUGGCAAAGGGGCGAGAGCCCCUCCAAGAUUGGAUCUGUCUCUCUGUUCUCUUCUGUUUCGCGCUCCCUAGAUCUGGCCCUUAACGAUUUCUUAAAUUCCCAGAGAUCCGUAAAUCCGAUUGUGCUGAAAUUUUUACACAAUUUUUCCAUAAAUUAUCUUUCUUGCACCAUAAGAAGGGCCCCAACCGACCUUUGAGGUGGGCAUAAGACACCUGGGCCCCCAGGUGCGCCCUGGUGGGUUGUGGGCAUGUGGGCCCCCAUUUGCAUUGAUUCCACCUCCCAAAAAUCACAUAUAUUCCAAAAUAAUUCUCCAUAAAUUUUUAUCGAGUUUGGACUUUGUUUGAUAUGGUUUUUCUUUGAAACAAAAAACAUGCAACAAACAGGAACUAACAUUGGGCACUGGUUCAAUAGGUUAGUCCAAUAAAUCAUAUAAAAAAGUUGCCAAAAGUAUGUGAAAGUUGUAUAAUAUUGGCAUGAAACAAACAAAAAUUAUAGAUACGACAGAGACAUAUCAGCAUCCCCAAGAUUAAUUCCUCCUCGUCCUCGAGUAGGUAAAUGAUAAAAAAGAUAAUUAUUGAUGUGGAAUGCUACCUAACAUAAACUUGAUCGUACGUCUAGUCAUGGCAUGAAUAUUAAGACAUAAGUGAUUCAAAGCAACAGUCUAUAAUUUGACAUCAAGACAUUAAUACUCAGGCAUCCCAACAAACAAUCAUGUCUUUCAAAAUAACAACGCUAAAGAAAGCUAUCCCUAAAAAGUCAUAUAAUCUUUUCAUGCUCUCUCUUCUUAACAGAAAGUAUUUAUCAUGCACAACCCCGUUGACAAGCCGAGCAAUUGGUUCAUACUUUUUAACGUGCUUCAGCUUUUUCAACCCUCACGCAAUACAUGACUGCAAGCCAUGCAUAUAGCACUAUGGGUGGAAUAGAGUAUGAUGAUAGGGGUAAAUAUAAAGAAGACAAAAAAGUAAGAAAGUCUCACAUCAACGCUGCUAACCAACGGGCUAUGGAGAUGCCCAUCAAUUGAUAUCAAUGCAAGGAGUAGGGAUUGCCAUGCAACGGAUGCACUAAGAGCUAUAAGUGUAUGAAAGCUCAAUAGGAAAACUAAGUGGGUGUGCAUCCAACUUGCUUGCUCAUGAAGACCUCAGGCAUUUGAGGAAGCCCAUCAUCGGGCUAUACAAGCCAAGUUCUAUAAUGAAGAAUUCCCACUAGUAUAUGAAAGUGACUACAUAGGAGACUCUCUAUAUGAAAAAAAUGGUGCUACUAUGAAGCACAAGUGUGGUAAAAUAUAGUAACAAUGCACCUUCUCUCUUUUUUUUUCUUUUUUUUCUCUCAUUGUCCGGAGUCUGAUCCCGACUUGUGGGGGAAUCGUAGUCUCCAUCAUCCUUUCCUCACUGGGACAUGCUCUAAUAAUGAAUAAUGAUGAUCAUCACACUUCUAUUUACUUAUAACUCAAAGAAAUAAAAAUUACAACUCGACACCUAGAACAAAAUAUGACUCUAUAUGAAUGCCUCUGGUAGUGUACCAGGAUGUGCAAUGAUCUAGCAUAACAACAAUAUCAAAAAAUAGACAAGCCAUGGAAAUAUCAUGCUAGCUAUCUUAUGAUCAUGCAAAGCAAUAUGACAAUGAAUGCUCAAGUCAUCAAAACAAAGGCGGUGGAAGUUGCACGGCAAUAUAUCUCAGAAUGGCUAUGGAAAGGCCAUAAUAGGUAGGUAUGGUGGCUAUUUUUAUGAAGAUAUAAUAAGGCUUAUGUGUGAUAGAGCGUAUCAUAUCACGGGGUUUGGAUGCACCUGCAAAGUUUGCACCAACUCUCGAGGUGAGAAAGGGCAAUGCACAAUACCGUAGAGGCUAGCAAAUUGCGGAAAGGUAAGAGUGCAUAUAAUCUAUGGACUCACAUUAGUCAUAAAGAACUCAUAUACUUAUUGCAAAAGUUUAUAAGCCCUCGAAGCAAAGUACUACUACGCGUGCCCCUAGGAGGAUAGAUUGGUAGGAAAAGACCAUCGCUCGUCCCCGACCGCCACUCAUAAGGAAGACAAUCAAUAAUAAAUCAUGCUCCAACUUCAUAGCAUAACGAGAGACUAUACGUGCAUGCUUCGGGAAUCACAAACCUUAACACACAUAUUCCUACUAACCACAACCGUUUACUAGUACCUCCCACAUAUUACCAUCUCUAUAUCGCAAAAUUAUUGCAAGGAAUCAAACAUAUCAUAUUCAGUGAUCCAUAAGUUUUAUGUAGGAUUUUAUGACUAACCAUGCAAUUGACCAAUUCAUGUUGACUCUCUAAAUAGAUAUAAGUGAAGCAAGAGAGUUUAAUUCUUUCUACAAAAUACCAUGCUCUAACAAAUAUAAGUGAAGCAAAAGAGCAUUCUACAAAUAACGAUUUCCUAUGUGAAGAGAAACAGGCAAUCCAAACUUCAAAUGAUAUAAGUGAAGCAUAUGAAGCAUUUUAUAUAGCCAUACUCAAAAGAUAUAAAUCAACCAUGGACUAUCUCAUACCAGCAUAGCGCAUGAAAGAAAAGCGAAAACUAAAUGCAAAAGACGCUCCAAGAUUUACACAUAUCACGUGAACAAAACAAAGACGAAAAACAUACCGAUACUUGUUGAAGAAAGAUGGGAUGCCUUCCGGGGCAUCCCCAAGCUUAGAUGCUUGAGUCUACUUGAAUAUUUACUUGGGGUUCCUUGGGCAUCCCUAGUCUUGAGCUCUUGCAUCUCAUCCUUCUCGUCAUAUCGAGACCUCCUCGAUCUUUGAUCACUUCAUCCACACAAAACUCAACAGAAAGCUCAGUAAGAUCCGUUAGUAUAAUAAAGCAAAUCACUACUCUAAGUACUAUUGCAAGCCAAUUCAUAUUUUGUUUUUGAAUUGUAUCUACUUUAAUAUAACUUUUCCAUGGCUUAUACCACCGAUAGAAUCGAUAGUUUCAUCAAAACAAGCAAAAUAAUGCAUCAAAAAACAGAAUCCGUCUUAAACAGGACACUCUGUAGUAAUCUAAAAAUUUACCAUACUUGCGGUACUCCAAAAUUUUUAAAAAAUUACGACAAAAUAAAAAAUAUGUAUAGAAAUAGUGUGCAAAAAGUUUCAGAACCUUUUGACGUUCCAGUAAAAAAUGAAAAUUCACACACUACAGCCAAAGUUUCUGUUUCUGCACCACACAUACCAAGAAGCAAUCUAAUCAUCCUAAAGACAAACAUUGGCACAAUAAUUUUACACUACAAAGGAUUUGUACAAGGGGAUAAUUAUUUUUUUUGAAAAGUUUCUGUAAUUGAGAUUCACAAAGUUUCCAUGGGCAUCAACAAAGUUCAAGGAGCUCCCCCACUUCAACAAUGCUCGUCUCACUUUCACUUUUCUUUUUGUGAAGUUUUAAGUUCCCCUCUAUAUUUUUUUUGUUUUUAAGCUUUAUAAAAGCACUCAACAGAAAUAAAUGACUCUCUAAAACUUCAAGGUUGUCUCCCUGGCAGCGCUUUCUUUAAAGUCAUUAAGCUAUGCAUGAAGUGCUCAAGUAAUGGAUCCACCCGGAUCCCAAGGUAUAUCAAAGCCAAUUUUAAUUAGCAACGAUUUGGUGUUUAGUAGUGUGCACAAAGCAACAUAUAUCAUGCAAUGACAAAGUCUAACCCUCUUCCUAUGCAUCGGCAUUUCAUACGAGAACAAUUCAUGCACAUAAAGUAGAGGCCAAUAAAUAGCAUAAGCAAUUUCUUGCCAUUUUAUCACGUUGGAAACAUAAAGAGGUGGAGCUGUAGUUCCUCUCUCAUAAUAAUUGCAAGUAGGAGCAUCAAGCACAUGCAUAUUACAUUCAUCAAAAUUAUCAUGUGCAACGGUAAAAGGCAACCCACCAACAUAAUCCUUAAUAAGUGCAAACUUCUCCGAUAUAGUGUAGUUUGGAGAAUUCAAAAAAAUAAUAGGACUAUCAAGUGUGGGUGCAAUAGCAACAGUUUCAUUCUUAACAUAAGGUACCAUAGCAAGUUCAUCUCCAUAAGCAUAAUUCAUAUUGGCAUCAAGGCCGCAAGCAUAGAAAGCAUCAAGUUCAUCAAAAAGGGAUAUUUCAAACGAAUCAGCGGGAUCAUAGCAUUCAUCCUUCGGUAAGUACGAAGGGGCAUUAAAUAUUGUAUGAGUUAAAGAGUUACUCUCAUUAGAAGGUGGGUGUCACACCCACGAUGCGGCUAUAUCUCCCACGUGUCGAAGCACGACUUAGAGGCAUAACCGCAUUGUGGUUUUGUCGCAAGAAGGGUCAUCUUCACACAAUCCCAUGUAAUGAACAAGAAUGGGAUAAAGAGUUGGCUUACAAUCGCCACUUCACACAAUGAACAUAAAUAAAUCAUACAUCAUUCAGAGUACACACACAUAGUCCGACUACGGACGAAGCCAAAAGAAAAGAAGAUAGCCCAACUGCUAGAUCCCCGAUCGUCCCAACAGGGCUCCACUACUGAUCAACAUGAAACGAAACAUAUCAACAACUAAGAUCUCCGUUGAGCUCCCAUCUGAGCUUGGUUGCAUCACCUGCACUGGUAUCAUCGGCACCUGCAACUGUUAUGAUAGUAUCUGGUGAGUCACGAGGACUCAGCAAUCUCAAAACCCACGAGAUCAAGACUAUUUAAGCUUAUGGGUAGGAAGGGGUAAAGUGGCGAGGUUGCAGCAGCGACUAAGCAUAUCUAGUGGCUAACAUACACAAAUAAGAGCGAGAAGAGAGCAAAAGGAACGGUCGUGAACUAGCAAUGAUCAAGAAGUGAUCCUGAACUCCUACUUACGUCAAACAUAACCCAAAACCGUGUUCACUUCCCGGACUCCGCCGAAAAGAGACCAUCACGGCUACACACGCGGUUGAUGCAUUUUAAAGAGGUCAAGUGUCAAGUUAUCUACAACCAGACAUUAACAAAUUCCCAUCUGCCUAUAACCGCAGGCACGGCUUUCGAAAGAUUAUAUACCCUACAGGGGUGUCCCAACUUAGCCCAUCACAAGCUCUCAUGGUCAACAAAGGAUAUACCUUCUCCCGGGAAGACCCGGUCAGCCUCGGAAUCCCGGUUCGCAAGACAUUUCGACAAUGGUAAAACAAGACCAGCAAAGCCGCCCGAUGUGCCGACAAAUCCCGAUAGGAGCUGCACAUAUCUCGUUCUCAGGGCACACCGGAUGAGACAUCCUACGAGUAAAACCAGCCCUCAUGUUUCCCCGAGGUGGCCCCGCAGUCUACUUAGUUCGGACCAACACUCGAAGGAGCACUGGCCCGGGGGGUUAAAAUAAAGAUGACCCUUGAGUCUGCAGAACCCAAGGGAAAAAGGCUUAGGUGGCAAAUGGUAAAACCAAGGUUGGGCCUUGCUGGAGGAGUUUUAUUCAAAGCGAACUCUCAAGGGUGUCCCAUAAAUCACCCAACCGCGUAAGGAACGCAAAAUCCGGGAACAUAACACCGGUAUGACGGAAACUAGGGCGGCAAGAGUGGAACAAAACACCAGGCAUAAGGCCGAGUCUUCCACCCUUUACCAAGUAUAUAGAUGCAUUAAUUAAAUAAGAGAUAUUAUGAUAUCCUAACAUAAUCAUGUCCAUCAUGGAGCAAUCUUCAACUUCACCUGCAACUAACAAUGCUAUAAGAGGGGCUGAGCAAAGCGGUAACAUAGCCAAGCAAUGUUUUGCUAGGAAGGGUGAAAAGGUUAGAGGCUGACAUGGCAAUAUGGGAGGCAUGGUAAACAAGUGAUAGGUAGCGCGGAAUCGCGAUAGAACGAAGCAACUAGCAAGCAAAGAUAGAAGUGAUAUCAAGGGUAAUGGUCAUCUUGCCUGAAAUCCUGAUAGGAAGAAGGACGAGUCCAUGAAGAAGACAAGCAGACGUAGUCGAACGAAUCCUCACAACUCCAGAACGAAACCGAAGCUAACGAGAGAAGCAAACCGGAAAGAAGCAAACAAUGCGGUAAACACACAAGCAUAAUCAUGGCAUAAUGCACAAUCAAGUAUGAUGCAUGUCCGGUUUAAAGAGGCAUGGCAUGGCAAUGCACACAAACAAUACUACAAGUUAAGUGGAGCUCAAUAUGCAACGAGUUGCAUAUUGACAGAACACCACAUCAAUAUUUAGUUCGCUCUCGGUUAGGAACACAACAAUAUUAAAUGUUAUUAAACAUGGCAAAAGGGGUGAAGCAUGAGCAAACCACCUAGCUAGGCAAUUUUAAAUGAGGCCGGAAACAACAAACAACAAUUCCGGAAAGUCCCCAUGUCAUUUAGUAGUUUAAUGCAAACACAAUAUUAAACAUUUUAAUUGUUCUUAUCAUGAUGUGGAUGACAUAAUCAAGGUUUUAUGCAAUUUUUAUGAAAAUGUUGACAUGAACAUGUUACGAGGCAUUUGUCGCCAUGGCGGAAGGAAAAAGGUGCCACGGCGGCGAAACGGAAAUGGUGCCACGGCAACAUUCCGGAAAUGAUGCCACGGCAACAUAUCGGUUCCGGUAGCUCACGGAGAUACCGGUGCAAAAGGAGGCGUGAGGAUGAGCGCAACAUGCAAGAUGGUGGGGUGAUCCCGACUACCGGGUUCCCACGGGACGGUGGCAUGGCAAAAGAGGGGCAUCGCAAGGACGAUUCGAUCACGGUGCAAACAUAUGGUACAACUCAUACAUGCAAGGGCAUCUCAUAGCGGUCGUCUCGGGUUAUACCUUUGAAGCGUGCGUUACGGGCGGAACGAGUUCGGAGUGGUGUAGAGGAAGUAGGCGUUCACGGGACGUCGUGGAAGUAGUCGUACACGGCAUCGGUAGUGGUACACCAUUGGAGACGUACACGUUCCGUAGAUGAACUUGGCGCUCGUGGUACACGGGUCUUCGGACGACGGUAGAUGUACACGGCAAUCGUAGUGGAACUUGGUGAUCCAUGGUGUUCGGGCGUAGUGGUACUCAUUCCGUAGACGAACUUGACGGGACAUGGCUGUCGUGGUACUUGACGUCAUUGUGGCCUCCAGGUACUUGCCAAAAUCCACAUCGGAUAUAGUCGUACAGAUUUGAAGAUGAACUUGGCAUCCCAAAGAUGGCCUUGGCGUUCCUGGUUCGGUGGUUGUAGCCACGAAAGGCCGUUGGAGAGGGAGCAGGGGUGCAAGGAGGGCCAUGGCGGGCACGGGUCUGCCGGACCUGCAACUGCGGCUGAUGACGAUGCAGAGGAGAGCUUCGGGUUGGCCCUGGCGUUAACUUGACCAGGGAGAUGGUGGAGGUUGGCGCAUGUGGUCGUCGGACGUCGCGCACGACGCCAGAACGAGGCAUGAGGAGGAGCAGCAGGGUGAAGAGGUCGGGCGCACCGGCAAGGAAGGGCAGCGGGACUCGGUGUCCAAGGCGGCAUCCAUGGCGAGGAGGGGAAGAGGGACUUGGCCGGCGGCGCGGCUGAUGGCAGGGGACGAUGGAUCCGGGCAGCGGCCGCGGCUCGGGAGCCUUCCCCGAUCGAGACAAGGACGGAGAGGGCCGAGUGAGAGAGGGAUGGCGGCGCGCGGGAGAAAGAAGGGCGAGGAGGAGGCCGCAGGUGAGGGAGAGCCGCCGGAGUUGGCUGCCCCGAUGGGGUCACCGGUGUGGUGGAGCGAGGGGGAUUCGAGGGCUGCGCGCGGAGGGAGAUGGGGGUCGGGCGCUGCGGGAACGAGGAGGAGGAGGAGAUGGAUCGAGGGGAUGAGGAUCGCACGUUGCGGCGGCGCUGGAGGGAGAUGGGGGUCGGGCAGGGGAGACUAGGGUUAGGCGCGGCUAGGCCUUAGAGGCCGGCCCAGAUGGAUACAAGUGGCGGCUGGGCUGCGGAUGAGCCUAGAUGGCCUGCUGGGAUGCAAGGCUUCUUCCUCCUCUUCUUUAACUCUUAUUUUCUAAAACAGAAAAUAACAACGAAGAAAAGAAGAAGGAAGGAGGUGUCGGGGCAGAAGUUGGACACGGGGAUUAUUUUCCCGAACUCGCAAAAAUGAGCUCGAUCCAGGAAAAUAAAAGAGGCAUGCUUGAAAGAUUUAAAUCCAAAACCAUUUGAAUUUAACUCAAAUGGGUUUGCACUAGGACUAGAUAAAAGGAAGGUCCAAAAAUGUUCGGAUUUUUGGUGGAGCUCCGGAAAAUGAUGAAAGAAAUAUUGGCAAGGUUAGAGAGCCAAAACUUGAAGAAGAAAAGGCCAAGGGAUUUAAUAUGCAAGUGGGUUCAUGGGUGAUUCCAAAACAAUGGAAUAUUUUAUAGUAUCUCCCUAAAUAUCGGGAGGGUAUGUUUUAAAGAGAACCCACCAUGUGAGUUUCCUCAAUUUAAAUGGACCGAAGAUCCAUACGAUUUAUUUAGAUGAGUUUUUAAAAUUAAUGAUAUGAUGGCAUGAUGACGUGAUGCAAUGCACAUGAUGCAGAGAUGAAUGCACGAACCAAACAAAAUCACACAACGAAUCUCGGAAACCCUGGAAGGCAUCUGAAGCUCCGGUCUUGGGGCGUUACAACACUCCACCACUACGAGAGGAUCUCGUCCCGAGAUCUAGGAUGGCACGAGAGAGAAACGGAAGAGGAAGAGAAGAGGUAAAACUAAGUUGCUUCUUCGACAAAAGAGUGAAACCAAAGAACCUUGAGAGGUUGAAAAGUUGAAAGAAAGAACACAACGGAGUUGAACACAAUUGAGAGCACUGCGGUAGAAAAUAGAAACAAGGAACACCAUUUGAACCUUGGAGGUUGCAAAGCUAUGAAUGACGAGUACAAUGGACAAGAAGGGAUUGAACCACUCUGGUUGAAACGAGAUAAACAAGGAACAAGGAAGAACAAAUUUGGACAACACUCCGGUAGAAAAGAGAUGCAAGACUUGAUACGAUGAAAAAGAACUUGAAGAGGUGACGCAACACUCCGGUUAAAUGGAUAAGCAAGAAAAAAACAUGAUCUUGACAAAACGAGAUGAUGGGUCAACGAGAGCAACCUCACAAAGCCUCUGAAAGAAAGAAUAGAAGAUAGAUCAUUGGAAUAACAUAAUGGAGAAGGAAAUGCCAACUUCUGCCACAAAUGAGCUUGGAAAGCAGCCUUCCAAGAAGGUUAUAACGAAGUUGUUGGAAACCAACAACGAAACGAAUAAGCUUGUAGUGGGCUUAUGGAAAACAUCUCAAAAUUAUGAGGUGACAACCGGCCACUAACGGAAACAAUUGCUUGCUUGAGAUCAACAAAGAGAUGAAAACUCCUUUCGCUGAGAGGAUAGGAGAAAACUUGGAUCAUUGAUAAGCACCACAAUAGCAACAUUCCUUAGGGAAGGCUUUAGGUGAAAUCUAUACCAAGAUAACUCCAACGAAGAGAUUGAUGGAUUUAAAAUACCUCGUUCUUGACAACAUGUGAAUCAUGAAACAUGAAUGAAAAUUGUCAAGAAUGAUAUAACACCACCUCAAAAGAUAAGGUAGAAAGAAUUGCACUUUGGAAUGCACGAUAAAGAAUGCUUGACGAACCACCAUGAAGAACUCCGGUAAUAAAAGGAUGAUAGAAAGAAAGAGAAGUUGAAAAUACAAGGUGAAGCCUUGCGAUGAUUUAGAUGGAGCUUCGCGACAAGAUAAUGCGAAAAACUUGGAACUCCGGAAAAGAAAAGAUGAAGCAUCUCAAACCGAGAAAAAUGACAUGAUGAACAACUCUCGAAAGAAGAAACUAGAUUACUUGGAUGAAACAAUAAUAAGAAUUACGUUAUGCGUAUCCUUCACCAAUUUAAAUUGAUGACAAGGAACGGAUUUGGCAUAGUACUUAUUCUUUUGCAAGGAUUGAAGAGAGAUAUAGCGCCAACUUGAGGAAGGUCUUCAACAACCACCGGUAGGAUUGAAACAACAAAAGAACGAAUUAAUUGGUACGAUAGCGAAGGAAGAGAAAUCUUGAACGAACCACCGUACGAAUUGAAAAUGAAAGUAGCAAAGGCACAAUUCACCGGGAAGAAUUGGAAAAUGAAUGAAGAUACUUGACAGAAUUUAGAUACAAGAGAACGAAGAGAUCAUGAACUGAUUAGAGGAUAUUUGAACGAUGCACGGGUAAGAUUUGGAGAACGAUAGUUACACACUAAGAAUGAAGAAUUCUGAGAUGAUGGCUCCGGAGAAUCAAACUGAAAAGACUCCUGAAAUGCCCCGGAUGGGUGAAAAGAAUUCUCAUAAUCGAAAACAAUUAUGAGAGGAUGGCAUAACGCUAGAACCAUGAAUCUUCAAGAGAACGGACCAAGAUUUAGGAGAAAUCCUUCUUCAGUCUUCAAAAUUCGAGAAUGACGACGAGAAACACCACCAUGAAUUGUUGAGACACUCCGGAAGAAUGAAAAAACAAAGAGGUUGAGCCAACAAUGAAAAAUGAUUUUAAAUCGAUCUUGGAGAACACCUGACUGAUGAAAUUCAUUCUUACGUCAAACUUCGAAAAGAAUUUGGGAAUGGCUCCAGGAAAAUUAGAAGAGUCAGGUCAGAUCCUGGGAAAAGACCUGUGGGUUAGGGCCCACUCAAAAGGAAAACACCGUUGAAUGAUUGAUUGAAAAGGGGGGGAUUGCACCGGUUGAAUUAAAUGGCUUGAAUAAGGUAACAACCUCGAAAUAAUUUGGACGGAUUGAGAAUGGACAGAUGGGCCUUCUGAGAUAUAUUCAACACUCGAGAACGAAGGAAUAGCGAGAAUUGAAUGAUUAAGGGAUACACCGGCAUGGGAUAGCAUUUGAACGAGGAUAAGGAUAUGAUCAACACCGAAAGCUUGAGGUAAAUCCACCGGAGAAGAAAAGAAUGAAAAAUGAUGAACUCAAAGCUCCGUUAGUAUCUUCCUGAGAAUCACCGGAUAAGAACAUUGACGAAAAAGAAUGGAGAGACUUCCCAUCAAUAAAAUGGAUACCCUAUUAAGAAAUCUGAGUCCUUGAAGAAAAAGGGUGGGAGGGUGGGGAAAACAAAGACAACUUGGGAUGAACGAAACAAACACCGUUGAGAAAACUUGGAAAUGAUCUUGCGGAUGUUGAAAUGAUCGGAUCCACUUGAAGAGAAGCACGCCGGUUGGAAAAGAAUUAACAUGACAACCUCAAUGAUCAAAAGGAUUAGCAUUCAUAUAGAAAUAUGAGAACACCGUUUAGGAAAGGUAUGGACUCAACAUUUGACUUCGAAGCAACUCGAAUACCACAAAUGAAACAAAACAAAGGAUUUGGCUUGCAGAAUAAGCCGAAACAAACAUAUGAUAGAGAUUUCAUCCGAAGUUUUCGUGGUGGGGCCCACACGGGCUCGAUUGUAUAGCACCAUCAUGUACAAGGCAGUGCACAUGACAUACGAAGUGUCCCCGAACCAUCAUAGCCAAGGGUUCUUUAAGACACAACGAGACCACUGCAAAAACGACCGUGGAAAGGCGGACCACUAGACGUCGAACCCCAAUCUCAUAUCAUGCAUCUGUCGAAAAGAUAUUCUAGGAGCUACUUGAAUUCCCACCUAUAAAACUCCCGAAACUUUCUGGUUAUGCAAUCUGGUGUUGGGGAUACAGGGGAAGCAAUAUAUAUAUCUCACCCAAAACUAACAAUUCCUACAUCCAAGUUGUAUCCAUCCGUCAACACAUAACCAAGAAACCUUCGGAAAUCAUGUACCUCAACCUUCGAAAAGCAUACGUUAUACGAGUUAUGGCAAUACUCCCGAACUCCCCAGUACUGGGUGACGUCGAGGUUAUCUCACCAACAACUGCAUAAAAGAGAUUUUCGAUGUCGGAAAAACUCAGGUAUUCCAGAACUGCAACGAUAAAAUUAUGACGACAACACCUCGGAGCUCAACUCCCCGGGUCAAAGCCACAUAAAAGACAGGAGGCACCAAGAACAAUGUUCUCGUCACAAAACCAUCGAAACGAUUCCAAGAUACCCGCGUGAUCCAAAAAAAAAUUAGUGAAAUUUGAGGAGAGGAAACACAAAACAUCUACGUCAGGAGACCUCACCAGAGCGACGAAGGGACUGAGGAGUAAAAAGAAUCCUACUCUCCGAUAUAUAUAAUCCUAAGACUCAAAACAUUUUUGUUCUAGACUCAACAACGCCAGCAAACAAUCAAGCAGGGGGCUCCUAAGUCGGGGAUGGCUCUGAUUACCAACUUGUCACACCCACGAUGCGGCUAUAUCUCCCAUGUGUCGAAGCACGACUUAGAGGCAUAACCGCAUUGUGGUUUUGUCGCAAGAAGGGUCAUCUUCACACAAUCCCAUGUAAUGAACAAGAAUGGGAUAAAGAGUUGGCUUACAAUCGCCACUUCACACAAUGAACAUAAAUAAAUCAUACAUCAUUCAGAGUACACACACAUAGUCCGACUACAGACGAAGCCAAAAGAAAAGAAGAUAGCCCAACUGCUAGAUCCCCGAUCGUCCCAACUGGGCUCCACUACUGAUCAACAUGAAACGAAACAUAGCAACAACUAAGAUCUUCGUUGAGCUCCCAUCUGAGCUCGGUUGCAUCACCUGCACUGGUAUCAUCGGCACCUGCAACUGUUAUGAUAGUAUCUGGUGAGUCACGAGGACUCAGCAAUCUCAAAACCCACGAGAUCGAGACUAUUUAAGCUUAUGGGUAGGAAGGGGUAAAGUGGCGAGGUUGUAGCAGCGACUAAGCAUAUCUGGUGGCUAACAUACGCAAAUAAGAGCGAGAAGAGAGCAAAAGAAACGAUUGUGAACUAGCAAUGAUCAAGAAGUGAUCCUGAACUCCUACUUACGUCAAACAUAACCCAAAACCGUGUUCACUUCCCGGACUCCGCCGAAAAAAGACCAUCACGGCUACACACGCGGUUGAUGCAUUUUAAAGAGGUCAAGUGUCAAGUUAUCUACAACCGGACAUUAACAAAUUCCCAUCUGCCUAUAACCGCAGGCACGGCUUUCGAAAUAUUAUAUACCCUGCAGGGGUGUCCCAACUUAGCCCAUCACAAGCUCUCACGGUCAACGAAGGAUAUACCUUCUCCCGGGAAGACCCGAUCAGCCUCGGAAUCCUGGUUCGCAAGACAUUUCGACAAUGGUAAAACAAGACCAGCAAAGCCGCCCGAUGUGCCGACAAAUCCCGAUAGGAGCUGCACAUAUCUCGUUCUCAGGGCACAUCGGAUGAGACAUCCUACGAGUAAAACCAGCCCUCAAGUUUUCCCGAGGUGGCCCCGCAGUCUACUCAGUUCAGACGAACACUCGAAGGAGCACUGGCCCGGGGGGGUUAAAAUAAAGAUGACCCUUGAGUCUGCAGAACCCAAGGGAAAAAGGCUUAGGUGGCAAAUGGUAAAACCAAGGUUGGGCCUUGCUGGAGGAGUUUUAUUCAAAGCGAACUGUCAAGGGGGUCCCAUAAAUCACCCAACCGCGUAAGGAACGCAAAAUCCGGGAACAUAACACCGGUAUGACGGAAACUAGGGCGGCAAGAGUGGAACAAAACACCAGGCAUAAGGCCGAGUCUUCCACCCUUUACCAAGUAUAUAGAUGCAUUAAUUAAAUAAGAGAUAUUAUGAUAUCCCAACAUAAUCAUGUCCAUCAUGGAGCAAUCUUCAACUUCACCUGCAACUAACAAUGCUAUAAGAGGGGCUGAGCAAAGCGGUAACAUAGCCAAGCAAUGGUUUGCUAGGAAGGGUGAAAAGGUUAGAGGCUGACAUGGCAAUAUGGGAGGCAUGGUAAACAAGUGAUAGGUAGCGCGACAUCGCGAUAGAACGAAGCAACUAGCAAGCAAAGAUAGAAGUGAUAUCGAGGGUAAUGGUCAUCUUGCCUGAAAUCCUGAUAGGAAGAAGGACGAGUCCAUGAAGAAGACAAGCAGACGUAGUCGAACGAAUCCUCACAACUCCAGAACGAAACCGAAGCUAACGAGAGAAGCAAAUCGGAAAGAAGCAAACAAUGCGGUAAACACACAAGCAUAAUCAUGGCAUGAUGCACAAUCAAGUAUGAUGCAUGUCCGGUUUAAAGAGGCACGGCAUGGCAAUGCACACAAACAAUACUACAAGUUAAGUGGAGCUCAAUAUGCAACGAGUUGCAUAUUGACGGAACACCACAUCAAUAUUUAGUUCGCUCUCGGUUAGGAACACAACAAUAUUAAAUGUUAUUAAACAUGGAAAAAGGGGUGAAGCAUGAGCAAACCACCUAGCUAGGCAAUUUUAAAUGAGGCCAGAAACAACAAACAACAAUUCCGGAAAGUCCCCAUGUCAUUUAGUAGUUUAAUGCAAACACAAUAUUAAACAUUUUAAUUGUUGUUAUCAUGAUGCGGAUGACAUAAUCAAGGUUUUACGCAAUUUUUAUGAAAACGUUGACAUGAACAUGUUACGAGGCAUUUGUCGCCAUGGCGGAAGGAAAAAGGUGCCACGGCGGCGAAACGGAAAUGGUGCCACGGCAACAUUCCGGAAAUGAUGCCACGGCAACAUAUCGGUUCCGGUAGCUCACGGAGAUACCGGUGCAAAAGGAGGCGUGCGGAUGAGCGCAACAUGCAAGAUGGUGGGGUGAUCCCGACUACUGGGUUCCCACGGGACGGUGGCAUGGCAAAAGAGGGGCAUCGCAAGGACGAUUCGAUCACGGUGCAAACAUAUGGUACAACUCAUACAUGCAAGGGCAUCUCAUCGCGGUCGUCUCGGGUUAUACCUUUGAAGCGUGCGUUACGGGCGGAACGAGUUCGGAGCGGUGUAGAGGAAGUAGGCGUUCACGGGACGUCGUGGAAGUAGUCGUACACGGCAUCGGUAGUGGUACACCAUUGGAGACGUACACGUUCCAUAGAUGAACUUGGCGCUCGUGGUACACGGGUCUUCGGACGACGGUAGAUGUACACGACAAUCGUAGUGGAACUUGGUGAUCCACAGUGUUCGGGCGUAGUGGUACUCAUUCCGUAGACGAACUUGACGGGACAUGGCUGUCAUGGUACUUGACGUCAUUGUGGCCUCCAGGUACUUGCCGAAAUCCACAUCGGAUGUAGUCGUACAGAUUUGAAGACGAACUUGGCGAAAAUCCCAAAGAUGGCCUUGGCGUUCCUGGUUCAGUGGUUGUAGCCACGAAAGGCCGUUGGAGAGGGAGCAGGGGCGCGAGAAGGGCCAUGGCGGGCACGGGUCUGCCGGACCUGCAACUGCGGCUGAUGACGAUGCAGAGGAGAGCUUUGGGUUGGCCCUAGCGUCAACUUGACCAGGGAGAUGGUGGAGGUUGGCGCAUGUGGUCGUCGGAAGUCGCGGACGACGCCAGAACGAGGCAUGAGGAGGAGCAGCAGGGUGAAGAGGUCGGGCGCGCCGGCAAGGAAGGGCAGCAGGACUCGGCGUCCAAGGCGGCAUCCAUGGCGAGGAGGGGAAGAGGGACUUGGCCGGCGGUGCGGCUGGUGGCAGGGGACGAUGGAUCCGGGCAGCGGCCGCGGCUCGGGAGCCUUCCCCGAUCGAGACGAGGACGGAGAGGGCCGAGCGAGAGAGGGAUGGCGGCGCGCGGGAGAAGGAAGGGCGAGGAGGAGGCCGCAGGUGAGGGAGAGCCGCCGGAGUUGGCUGCCCCGAUGGGGUCACCGGCGUGGUGGAGCGAGGGGGAUUCAAGGGCUGCGCGCGGAGGGAGAUGGGGGUCGGGCGCUGCGGGAACGAGGAUGAGGAGGAGAUGGAUCGAGGGGAUGGGGAUCGCAUGUUGCGGCGGCGCUGGAGGGAGAUGGGGGUCGGGCAGGGGAGACUAGGGUUAGGCGCGGCUGGGCCUUAGAGGCCGGCCCAGAUGGAUACAAGUGGCGGCUGGGCUGCGGAUGAGCCUAGAUGGCCUGUUGGGCUGCAAGGCUUCUUCCUCCUCUUCUUUAACUCUAAUUUUCUAAAAUAGAAAAUAACAACGAAGAAAAGAAGAAGGAAGGAGGUGUUGGGGGAGAAGUUGGACACGGGGAUUAUUUUCCUGAACUCGCAAAAAUGAGCUCGAUCCAGGAAAAUAAAAGAGGCAUGCUUGAAAGAUUUAAAUCCAAAACCAUUUGAAUUUAACUCAAAUGGGUUUGCACUAGGACUUGAUAAAAGGAAGGUCCAAAAAUGUUCGGAUUUUUGGUGGAGCUCCGGAAAAUGAUGAAAGAAAUAUUGGCAAGGUUAGAGAGCCAAAACUUGAAGAAGAAAAGGCCAAGGGAUUUAAUAUGCAAGUGGGUUCAUGGGUGAUUCCAAAACAAUGGAAUAUUUUAUAGUAUCUCCCUAAAUAUCGGGAGGGUAUGUUUUAAAGAGAACCCACCAUGUGAGUUUCCUCAAUUUAAAUGGACCGAAGAUCCAUACGAUUUAUUUAGAUGAGUUUUUAAAAUUAAUGAUAUGAUGGCAUGAUGACGUGAUGCAAUGCACAUGAUGCAGAGAUGAAUGCACGAACCAAACAAAAUCACACAACGAAUCUCGGAAACCCUGGAAGGCGUCUAAAGCUCCGGUCUUGGGGCAUUACAGUGGGCAUGGGUGGCUAAUCCGCUCUUCCUCCUUUUUUUCUUCGCUCUCCUCAUCAUCACUUUCACCCAAUGAGCUCACAGAUUCAUCAAUUUCUUCUUCCAUAGACUCCUGCAAAAUGUUAGUCUUUUCUUGGACAGCGGAGAAGUCCUCAAUACAUGGUUUAAUAUAAGCAUUAGAAUAAUAAUGUUCAUAGCAAUAUUUAAGUAUGGCAAAAAUUUCAGAUUUGUAAAGUGUAGCAUCAUAUUCAAUCAAAGAAGCAACUUCGUAGGCACCCUUAAAUGCAACAAAAUCUUUAAUUUAUUCAAUAUCAAAGUAAUUAUAAACACCCUUGGCAUAAUAAGAUAAGAUUCCAUUAUCCUUAAACUCACAUUGGAAGAAAAGGUGUUUCUUAGGGUCUUCGGAACAACAAGUAAAAUCAUGUAUUUCGCAUAGAUUCAAAGCAUAGCAAUAUAAACUAUUAAUAUGAUGCCACAAAAGUUUCCCUUUUUGAGAUAAGCGGUGUCGCACAAAAUAAGCAUGCUCAUUUAAUGAUUUUUCCUCAACUAAGCUAGUUGGGUUUUCAACACGAGCACAAAUGGAUCGAAGAUGAUCCAAAUAGAAAGCUUAAGUAGUAUGAUAGAUUUUGGGUGGUUCUUCAACCAUUGGUUUAGCAGGUACAACUAUUUUUUUCUAUUUUUCGUUUCCUACCCAUAGCUAGAGAUAGAAAAAAAGAGCACAAAAUAAAAACUACUUAGUGAUAAAGCAAACAAGUACACACGAGAAAUAUUUACCCACGCUAUUGCUCCCCGACAACGGCGCCAGAAAAAGGUCUUGAUAACCCACAAGUAUAGGGGAUCAUUUGUAGCCUUCUUCGAUAAAUAAGAGUGUCGAACCCAACGAGGAGCUAAAGGUAGAACAAAUAUUACCUCAAGUUCUAUCGACCACCGAUACAACUCUACGCACACUUCACAUUUGCUUUACCUAGAAUGAGAAUAAAACUAUUUUGCAAGAUUAAAACUAUGAGUACUUUGCGGGAAUAAAACUAUGAAUACAUUGCAAGGUAAUAAAAGUGGAUAGCUUUUGUCAAUAAGAAAGUCAUUUGUCCCUAGGCAAUCGAUAACAAGUACCGGUAAUCAUUCUUGCAAUUCUAUAUGAGGGAGAGGCAUGAGCUAACAUACUUUCUCUACUUGGAUCAUAUGCACUUAUGAUUGGAACUCUAGCAAGCAUCCGCAACUAGUAGAGAUCAAUAAGGUCGUGAAACCCAACCAUAGCAUUAAGUGUCAAGUCCUCUUUAUCCCAUAGGCAAUAACCCACCUACUCGGGUUUAAGCUUCUCUCGCAGUUGCAACCCACCAUAAGCGAAUCAUGAAUGUAUAGCAACACCCUACAUUGGGGCCCCUCACGUUUGCGCGGGACGGAGGGCACCAUAGGACAUCACCAUAAAUAACAUAUAAAAUCAUACUAACCAAGAUCACGAUUAACCCAUAGGACAAAACGGAUCUACUCAAACAUCAUAGGGUAGCCAAAUAUCAAUGGGAAAUAAUAUAUGGAGUUGAGCACCAUGUUUAAGCAGAUAUUACAGCAGGGAAAAGAGGUGUUACACCGCUGCAUAGAUGGGGAGAGAGUUAGUGUUGACAGUAGCAAGAUUGUUGAUGUAGAUCACUGUCAUGAUCCUAGCCCCGAUGGCACUCUGGCGCCGCCGGGAGAGAGGGGGAGAGAGUCCCCCUCCUUCUUCUUCUUCUUCAUUGGCCUCCCCCCUAGAUGGGAGGAGGGUUCCCCCUCUCGUCCAUGGCCUCCAUGGCGGCGGAGGGGCGAGAGCCCCUCCGAGAUUGGAUCUGUCUCUCUGUUCUCUUCUGUUUCGCGCUCCCCAAAUCUGGCCCUUCACGGUUUCUUAAAUUCCCCGAGAUUCGUAACUCUGAUUGUGCUGAAAUUUUUACAUAAUUUUUUCCAUAAAUUAUCUUUCUUGGGCCAGAAGAAGGGCCCCAACCGACCUUCGAGGUGGGCAUAAGACACCUGGGCCCCCAGGCGCACCCUAGUGUUUUGUGGGCACUGUGGGCCACCGUUUUGCAUUGAUUCCACCUCCAAAAAAUCACAUAUAUUCCAAUAUAAUUCUUCGUAAAAUUUUAUCGCGUUUGAACUUCGUUUGAUAUGGUUUUUGUGCGAAACAAAAAACAUGCAACAAACUGGAACUGGCACAGGGAACUGGAUCAAUAGGUUAGUUCAAUAAAUCAUAUAAAAAAGUUGCCAAAAGUAUGUGAAAGUUGUAUAAUAUUGGCAUGAAACAAUCAAAAAUUAUAGAUGCGAUGGAGACGUAUCAGCAUCCCCAAGCUUAAUUCUCGCUCAUCCUCGAGUAAGUAAAUGAUAAAAAAGAUAACUUUUGAUGUGGAAUGCUAGCUAACAUAAACUUGAUCAUAUGUCUAGUCAUGGCAUGAAUAUUAAGACAUAAGUGAUUCAAAGCAAUAGUCCAUAAUUUGACAUAAAGACAAUAAUACUCAGGCAUUCCAACAAACAAUCAUGUCUUUCAAAAUAUCAACACUAAAGAAAGCUAUCCCUACAAAGUCAUAUAAUCUUGUCAUGCUCUGUAUUCUUGACACAAAGUAUUUAUCAUGCACAACCCCAAUGACAAGCCGAGCAAUUGGUUCAUACUUUUUAACGCGCUUCAACUUUUUCAACCCUCGCGUAAUACAUGAGCGCAAGCCAUGGAUAUAGCACUAUGGGUGGAAUAGAGUAUGAUGAUAGGGGUAAAUAUAAAGAAGACAAAAAAGUAAGAAAGUCUCACGUCGACGCUGCUAACCAACGGGCUAUGGAGAUGCCCAUCAAUUGAUAUCAAUGCGAGGAGUAGGGAUUGCCAUGCAACAGAUGCACUACGAGCUAUAAGUGUAUGAAAGCUCGGUAUGAAAACUAUGUGGGUGUGAAUCCAACUUGUUUGCUCAUGAAGACCUCGGGCAUUUGAGGAAGCCCAUCAGCAGAAUAAACAAGCCAAGUUCUAUAAUGAAAAAUUCCCACUAGUAUAUGAAAGUGACUACAUAGGAGACUCUCUAUAUGAAAACAUGGUGCUACUUUGUAGCACAAGUGUGGUAAAAGAUAGUAACAAUGCACCUUCUCUCACUUUUUUCCUUUUUUUUCUCUCAUUGUCCAGAGUCUCAUCCCGACUUGUGGGGGAAUCAUAGUCUCCAUCAUCCUUUCCUCACUGGGACAUGCUCUAAUAAUGAAUAAUGACGAUCAUCACACUUCUAUUUACUUAUAACUCAAAUAAAAUAAAAAUUACAACUCGACACCUAGACCAAAAUAUGACUCUAUAUGAAUGUCUCUAUUAGUGUACCAGGAUGUGCAAUGAUCUAGCAACGACAUCAAAAAACGGACAAGCCAUGGAAAUAUCAUGCUACCUGCUACGUCUUGAGCUUGCGUUGGUUUUCCUUGAAGAGGAAAGGGUGAUGCAGCAAUAGUGGCGUAAGUAUUUCCCUCAGUUUUUGAGAACCAAGGUAUCAAUCCAGUAGGAGGCUCCUCAAAAGUCCCACGCACCUACACAAACAAAUAAAGAACUCGCAACCAACACAAUAAAGGGGUUGUCAAUCCCUUCACGACCACUUGCGAAAGUGAGACCUGAUAGAGAUAGUAUGAUAAGAUAAAUAUAUUUUUGGUAUUUUAUAAUAUAGAUUGGAAAAGUAAAGAUGCAAAUAAAAGUAGAUUGAAAGCUUAUAUGAUAAAAGAUAGACCCGGGGGCCAUAGGUUUCACUAGUGGCUUCUCUCAAAAUAGCAUAAGUAUUACGGCGGGUGAACAAAUUACUGUCGAGCAAUUGAUAGAAAAGCGAAUAAUUAUGAGAUUAUCUAGGCAUCAUCAUGUAUAUAGGCAUCACGUCCGUGACAAGUAGACCGACUCCUACCUGCAUCUACUACUAUUACUCCACACAUCGACCGCUAUCCAGCAUGCAUUUAGAGUAUUAAGUUCAUAAGAAUAGAGUAACACAUUAAGAAAGAUGACAUGAUGUAGAGGGGUAAACUCAAGCAAUAUGAUAUAAACCCCAUCUUUUUAUCCUUGAUGGCAACAAUACAAUACGUGCCUUGCAACCCCUGCUGUCACUGGGUAAGGACACCGCAAGAUUGAACCCAAAGCUAAGCACUUCUCCCAUGGCAAGAAAGAUCAAUCUAGUAGGCCAAACCAAACUGAUAAUUCGAAGAGACUUGCAAAGAUAACUCAAUCAUACACAAAAGAAUUCAGAGGAGAUUCAAAUAUUUCUCAUAGAUAAACUUGAUCAUAAACCCACAAUUCAUUGGAUCUCGACAAACACACUGCAAAAAGAGUUACAUCAAAUAGAUCCCCACAAGAGAGGGGAAGAACAUGGUAUUGAGAUCCAAAAAAAGAGAGAAGAAGCCAUCUAGCUAAUAACUAUGGACCCGAAGGUCUGUGGUAAACUACUCACAACUCAUCGGAGGGGCUAUGGUGUUGAUGUAGAAGCCCUCCGUGGUCGAUUCCCCCUCCGGCGGAGCGCCGGCGAAGGCUCCAAGAUGGGAUCUCGCGGAUACAGAAGGUUACGGCGGUGGAAAUUGUUUUUCGUUGGCUCCCUGGAUGUUUUCAUGGUACGUGGGUAUAUAUAGGAGGAAGAAGUAGGUCGGUGGCCGCCCGAGGGGCCCACGAGACAGGGGGCGCGUCCAGAGGGGGUGGGCGCGCCCUCCUAUCUCCUGGCUGCCUCGGCUGCUUUUUAGCUUGCACUCCAAGUCCUCUGGAUCGCGUUCGUUCUAAAAAUCACGCUCCCGAAGGUUUUAUUCCGUUUGGACUCCGUUUGAUAUUCCUUUUCUUCGAAAUACUGAAAUAGGCAAAAAAACAGCAUUAUGGGCUGGGCCUCCAGUUAGUAGGUUAGUCCCAAAAAUGAUAUAAAUAUGUAAAAUAAAGCCCAUAAACAUCCAAAAGGGGUAAUAUAAUAGCAUGGAACAAUAAAAAAUUAUAGAUAUAUUGGAGACGUAUCACUAGCUAUCUUACGAUCAUGCAAAGCAAUAUGACAAUGAAUGCUCAAGUCAUCAAAAUGGAGGCGGUGGAAGUUGUAUGACAAUAUAUCUCGAAAUGGCUACGGAAAGGCCAUAAUAGAUAGGUAUGGUGGCUGUUUUGAGGAAGAUAUAAUAAGGCUUAUGUGUGAUAGAGUGUAUCAUAUCACGGGGUUUGGAUGCACCUGCGAAGUUCGCACCGACUCUCGAGGUGAGAAAGGCAAUGCACGAUACCGUACAGGCUAGCAAAUUGCGAAAAGGUAAGAGUGCGUAUAAUCCAUGGACUCACAUUAGUCAUAACGAACUCAUAUGCUUAUUGUAGAAGUUUAUUAGCCCUCGAAGCAAAGUACUACUACGCAUGCCACUAGGGGUAGAUUGGUAGAAAAAGACCAUCGCUCGUCUCCGACCGCCACUUAGAAGGAAGACAAUCAAUUUUAAUAUAUAAUGAGGCUAGCCAACUUGCCUCCACGGAGCUCCCUCAAUUGGGUCGUUCGUGGUCGUCCGAUCGUAGUAAAAUUCCCACCACGCCUCUCCUCGGUCGUUGGAUAUUCACUGCAUGUUUCACCACGUUAUUUCUUUGACAUGUGUAUGACCAGUGGGCCUCUUCGUUGGUGGGGUCAUCAUGUAUUGGCUGGGUUCAUCAGUGUGAGGGUCCAAUUUGUUGCGCCUCCCCCAAUCCCCACAACCGCAAUUCCCACAGCCGCAUGCCCACAUCCCUCCCUCCUCCCUCGUCUCAGCCGCCACCCCACGAACCCUAGCCGCGCCCUACUACAUCUGUCCUCCUUCCCCCCUCCCUGGUCCGCCCCAAGCCCCUCCUCCUCCGCCCUCACAUGCUCCACCCUGAGCACACCGGCAGCGAAGUGCACCGCGAGGCCCCGAAGCAACUCAGCCAAAGCCCCUCCGUACAGGAGGAACCCCGCGGCCAGCGCAGCCAACAACGACACGUACAAGAGGUCGGCCUUGAUGGGUUGCGCGCCGUACGCGAGGGUCAUGUCCACACUGGAGGGCAGCAACGUGCACAUGGCGCGGUACGUGGAGGUGCGCAGGGAGAAGGUGCACGGCUCCGCCUAGCACCAUGUGUGCGGCAGCGGGGACAGGCGGCCACGGGCAGAUUUUGGGGAGCGGCACGAGCAUCUAGCAAUGGCUGAUGCCAAGGUGAGCUUCCCCUCGGCUCCCCUCUCUCUCCAUCACAAAAUAAUGUCCUCCUGAUCUUGCUAUUUAUGCAUCUCCAUAUGUCAUUGAUGUUCUUCCGAUUUGCAGGCAUGCCAAGAUCAAGGAUAUUUAUACUUGUUUCUUCUAUCGAUGAAAGAUUUCAGAUACUUUUGUAGAUGAAUUUCUGGGCUAAGAUAAAUGAUGUUGCUCCACAAAAUUAUCUCCUUAGUUGCAUUCCAUUUAUAGGUAAAGUGAGAUUGUUACCUCUGUUUGACUUUCUGUUCAAACUUCACGAUUGGAGUAUGGAUAUUAGCUUAGCUGUUGUAUGAAUUUUUCAUUAGAGGGGCCCAGGCUGAGACUUAAUACUUAAUUACUUUCUGUUUGAACAAAAAAGAGUGCACUUAUUAAUUGUAAAAUGUGGAGUGCAGACCCGACAUCCUUCAAUAUUACCUGAUUUGGUGCUGAUUUUCAUCUUCCAGUUCAUGUUCAUGGCCUUGCUGUGGUUGCAUCAUGGUCCGUGGGGAAUAGAAACAAAUACCUUUGCUACAACCGAGGUCUUGACAGACCAGUCAGGGAGAUAUAGGUUCGGUGAGUCAUUUUACCCUCUGUUUAUCCCUCUCGGAUUAGCUGAGAAGAAGCAUCUUUUUUUAUUUCCUUCUGAUUUCUUCUCUUGUUUGGCAGGAUCAAUUUUUUUUCAUAAUUUUGCAGGGGUUGAUAUGCUCUAUCCCUUGAGGUAAGUUUGCUAGGCAGUGGCUUACUCCUCUCUUGUUUUUGUUUUGUUUUGACCAUGGUAUUGAAAUUACAUCUGGUCGAUGGUGUUAAGUUUAGGUAAUUACUAUCUGCAUUUUGUAAAGAUUGCCAUCAUCUAGGUUUUAUUACGGCAUGAUGCAUAUGUAAUAAGGAAUUUGGUGUUUCAGAAGCAUCACUCGAAGUUGGUAUGCCAAUAUCUCAAUUGGCAAGAUAAAAGGACACUACUUCUUACUUUCCAGUCAUUUUAAUAAUAUAGGAAUGUAAGUGUGUACUAAGUAGAAAAGGUGGUUGAAUUUAGUGCCCCUACAUUUACACGACUAGGUGUUAUUCAUUUUUUGUUUCCUUUGACGCGCUGAUUGGAGCUUGUUGGGUACAAAAUGUUUCCAACAUUAUUUUAGGGUCAGAAUUAUUGUCAAGUUGUCCAGAUAUUGCUCCAAGAGGUUCCUAGAAUUAGUUUAGGAUCAGAGUUAUUGUCAUGUUGUCUAGAUAUUGCUCUGAAGAAUCCAAACGUACUUUUUAGGUGGCUUGGUUAUAAUUUUUGCCCCCCAAAGGGCAGAUCUGACCAGUUUCUUGCUAGAAUAUUAUCAUAAGGUUUGAUUAAUUUUGAACACACCUUUGUCUCUUCACUCUUAUAUUAUUUUAAUAGUCAUUUGACAUGCUGUAAACUAUUUGUUUUAUUUUUCCAGGAAGAAAUGAAGUUGAGGGGAGGCUAUUGCAUGCUGGAAAAUCAGUUGGUGUUGUCUAUGUUGGUUUCAGGAAGAAAAGGACCGGCAAAUUGAUGGCUCAGGCAUGUCAUACAAAGUACCUUGUUGUAUCUAGCAGAUUGCGAGGAUUCCCUUCUGUUGUAAGAUGAAAACCUGGUUAUAUGUUGCAUCUCAAAAUCAAGAUGUUCAUUCGAGAAGAGAAAGGAGUUGUCGGUGUGUCGUGGUGCGCGACCUUGUCCCGGAGUAUGCAUUUUAUAUAAAGUAAUGUGUAUCAAUGCUUUCUCAUACAUAUGAUUCUGAAGUAAUAGAGAGCAGGAAGUGGCAGGCUUAAUUUCAAUUAGAUAAAUAGGUGUACUGCAGCAUCAUAUAUUUAGGUAAUCCCUUUUAUUUUUCUUGCCAGGUUCAUGCUAUAUACAUUGUGUAUAUGCACAUAAAGUACACCCACAUAAACUGUAGUUUGUAGUAUCAGCAGCAAACAGAGGUGCAGCUAAGUAGUAGCAUGUCCCUAUUAUAAAUGGGUAGAAAAAUAAGAGCUUAUCAAAAGAACAGUAUCUCCGUUACAUGAUAAGGAUGAAUGUUUGAUGUUAUGCAUAUGUGUAAAAGCACUCCACUAUCAUGCAAAUAGUAUCAUGUUCAGAGCCUUAAUAAUGGCAGUUGUAAACCCAAAAUAAUCCAUCUUAUAAUUUAGGAUAUAGUAUAGAUUCCGGUGAGAACCACUCCAAUAAGAAUGCUAGCUGCUACUAUAUAUCUAAUUGGUCCCAGAUUGAAAAUCUUAGCUGUUAAUCUCUGAAUGCAGUAUGCACUUGUGCUGAAACAUAGAGCAUGUGUGGUGUUGCUCUGUACAUGAAUGAAAAAUCUCAGUUAUUAAUCUGUAAAUGAAGAAUGAUCAUGGUUCCCCACCUCUCUACUACUCAUAGUAAUGCCACCCUUUGCUAAUUUAUCUUUGGUUGUUCAAUGCAUGAUAACAUUUUUUGAAUUUGCAACAUAUGAUACCUUCAUCUUCUGAGUAGGAAGUCACUGGGCAAAAUUUUGCUGAUCAGAUGUAUGUAUAGUAUAAUAAUAGCAUAAUAAUAGCAGGUGAUAUACUAUAAUUGCCAUAUUAUUGAGCUUGAUAUCAUGUUUGAACUAGACAAAUAAUUUUGACAGGAUUUUAUCCUGGCAUAAACAUGCUGACAUAGUGUCAACAUAAUAACAGAAAAACCUUUUCGAAAUUCAACAUUAUAGAAUAUAAAGCAAGACAAAGUUAUCUCCUUGAAAUUUCUUUGACAACAUUCUAGAACAUGUGCCGGAUUCUAUUCGUUGAACCAAUAUUCUUCCAAUAUUUUGCAAGCCUAGAUAGUUUGAUAUCCCUAAAUGAUAAAUUCAGUUAAGGAAGCAACCAACUUAGCUAUCGUAUUGUCGGUUCUUUGACUAAAUUACUUUUGUGAGUAACAGUAUUUUAUUAGAAAUUGUUUCACUACCUGUUGUUCUUUAUAUUAGAUUUCGAAAAAAGCCAAGGCAGUAAGUCAACUAUUAGUUUGACUGAUUAUCAUAUUUCUUCUUGCACUUAAACUGCUUGACAGGUUGAUCCAGAUGAAGUAAAUGCACUUGCUCAACUGGUGACAUAGAAGACUGCCCAUUACGGCGGUACCAUAUGGUGGAGUGAAGGGAGGAACAGGGUACUCGUCUGGUGAUUUAAGUAGGAGUGAGUUGGAGCAUCUAAUGCGUGUAUUUACUCAGAAAAAUUGUGAUCUUACCGGAACUCAUACCUAUAUUCUAGCUCCAGCCAUGGGAACUAAUUCACAGUUAUGUUAUGCAAUUUCGGUGUCUUUUCUACCGUUUACUACCUUCCUAUGCUCUGCAACUAACUCUAUCUAAAACCAGGGCUGCUUUUUAUAGGUAUGUUUAUGCCCCUUAUGCCAUUAUUUUAAAUGUUUCUUUACUGUAUUGCUUAUGAAUAGAUACAAAGUUUUUUUAUGUACUGUACUAUCCAGUGCGGAUAAAAACAACUUUGAUCCUCCCUUUGGUGUCUCCAUGGAUGCAUAUAUGUAUUUAUUGUUCAUAUCGCAGAAUAAGGAUAAAUGUUUCGUUGGCAAAAUAUGAUCCUUCUAGAUAUCUUGUUGUACAAAUAAUCUCUCUUUAUGUAUCAUUGUUACUUUUGUUUCUGCUUGGUGUAUUUAACCUUACUUUUCAUGGUCAUUGCCUCAUGGUUCUGCUUCUACUGCAGGUUGUAGUACGUCAGUGAUGAUGAAAAGAUACUCGCUGUGUGUAUCAACUGUUUGACAAAGGUAUCUCAUGUACCGAGUGUUCUAAGAGACAAUGCACCCUCACUACCCUAGGCAGGCAGCUGUAGUGCGUUUGCAUUUGUUUCACUUUUAGUUUCUAUGGGGAGAAUUUUCAUUAUUAUCAACAUAGACAUACAAAUUAACCAGUUUCAGAAAAUCAUCUGGCUAACUGAAAAAGAAAAAAGAGAUCCAAAUUAUCUAUUUGGUAGGGCUGAUUUUAAUACUCAAUGUGUUCAAUACAGAACUGACAAACAACAAACUUUGGUUACCUACAAAUUCGUAUAAGCCUGAAGUGUGCUAAUCCCCUUGAAAGUUAAAUAUCAAAGCAAGUAUCAAGAAUCUUAUUAGCUCAACCUAAAAUGUUGCUGUGCGUCAUACUUCUUAAUAUCAAAGUUAAAUGCUAUAUCUUCUGGAUGCCUCCCUUUCUACUGCUGACCAUAGGUAAUUCUGAGUUAAGUGAUAACUAUCUUGCAUGACCAAAUUUCUUAAAAUUUUGUAUAUUUCGUAAUGCUCCUUUAACUUCUAAUAUCUAAGGCGUCCCAUGAGAAACUAGGUCUAUGGAACGCCAAGGUCGCAGGUCGCUAACUCAGUUGUAUGAGGAUCUUGUUUUCAUUGUCUCUCUUUGAUAUCAAACAAUACAUGUCCUACAAAUCCGAGAUCCAGGCAGCCUUGUUGUGGUACAAAGAAUUGGUGCAUUUUUAUAGUUCUGGAAUGUGCUUCUAAUUCAUAUUUGCUGGUUCUUUCAGCUUAUGAUCCAUCUGUAGAUAAGUCAUUACCGUUCCUGUUCAAGAGAUAUAUGGAUGGCAAUGAUCAUAUAACAAAAUAUUGCGGGACCAGGCUUGGCCUUGCAGUCUGCAAACAGUUGGUAUCAAUUUGUUCAGUCCAAAUCCUUGGUUCAUCUAGAAAACAACACUAGGAUUAAGGUGUUUUUGCCUUCAUAUGUGUAAAAAUUGUGUAACGCUUAUUUGAUUUUUCAUGAUGAAUUAGGUGGACUUGAUGGGUGGUACUCUCACUGCUUAGCAAAGAGAAAUGAUUGAAUAAAGGCUCAACAUUUAUAGUCAUGCUGCCCUGCACAAUUCCUGCAAGAGAUGUCGAGUGAUGAUCUUGGUAACGGGCAAAACUCCUGUAACAAAACUUUUUGCGAGUACUACAUUGGUUUGACUGCUGAAAUACCACGCUUCGGAAAAAAAGGCAAAAAUGUUUUACGUCCGAGGCAUGGGAAGUAUAGACUAAAGAAUGUGGUUUAAAGUUUCCCUAUUUUGUUAGAUUAGCUAAGGUGUUGAUUUGUUGAUUCAUGUGAGCGAUGUAUGUAAUCAAGAAUCAAGAAAGCAUACCAGUAUAUUGCAAUUCCUAAACUUACAAAAAUGAGAAGGAUGCAAGGAUGCCCAAACCUAUAGAUUUGUAAUUGACAUUUAGCACUACAUGUUGCCACUGAGUAAUUUUUCAUGUAAUGUUCUUAUAUAAAUAUGUUUUUUUUUCAAACUCAGAUUUCUCAGCGUGAUAACCAUAUUUUCAACUAAAAAAAGUUUCCUUAUUUGGUCUAUACAUGUUAUACAAAUAUGAUUUUUUUGCAAACUUAGAUUUCUUAGAAUGAUAAACAUAUUUUUAAUAUAGCAUGAUUUAACACAUGGGCUUUUUACUACCAAUAUUGAAUAUGUUCUUGCAAAAUGAAACUAUUUUCAUCGACAACAUGGCUUUAGCGGGUCUUUGCGCCAUUUGGCGCAACGGGUCAGCUAGUAAUAAUAAAUCAUGCUCCAACUUCAUAGCAUAACGAGACACUAUACGUGUAUGCUUCGGGAAUCACAAACCUUCACACAAAUAUUUCUACUAACCACAACCAUUUACUAGUACCUCCCACAUAUUACCAUCACUAUAUCGCAAAACUAUUUUAAGGAAUCAAACAUAUCAUAUUCAGUGAUCCAUAAGUUUUAUGUAGGAUUUUAUGACUAACCAUGCAAUUGACCAAUUCAUGUUGACUCUCUAAAUGGAUAUAAGUGAAGCAAAAGAGUUUCAUUCUUUCUACAGAAAACCAUGCUCUAACAAAUAUAAGUGAAGCAAAAGAGCAUUCUACAAAUAAUGGUUUCCUAUGUGAAGAGAAACAGGCAAUCCAAACUUCAAAUGAUAUAAGUGAAGCAUAUGAAGCAUUCUAUAAAGCCAUAUUCAAAAGAUAUAAGUGAAGUGCAAUGAGCAUUCUAUAAAUCAACCAUGGACUAUCUCAUAGAAGCGUAGUGCAUGAAAUAAAAGAAAAAACUAAAUGCAAAAGACUCCCCAAGAUUUACACAUAUCACGUGAAUGAAACGAAGAUGAAAACAUACCGAUACUUGUUGAAGAAAGAUGGGAUGCCUUCCUGGGCAUCCCCAGUCUUGAGCUCUUGCCUCUCCUCCUUCUCCUCAUAUCGAGACCUCCUCUAUCUUUGAUCACUUCAUCCACACAAAAUUCAACAGAAAGCUCAGUAAGAUCCGUUAGUAUAAUAAAGCAAAUCACUACUCUAAGCACUGUUGCAAACCAAUUCAUACUUUGUUUUUGCAUUGCAUCUAUUGUAAUAUAACUUUCCAUGGCUUAUACCACCGAAAGAAUCGAUAGUUUCAUCAAAACAAGCAAAACAAUGCAUCAAAAAUAGAAUCUGUCUUAAACAGGACCGUUUGUAGUAAUAUGAACAUCUACCAUACUUCUGGUACUCCAAAAAUUCUGAAAAAUUAGAUGAAAUAAAUUUUUUAUAGAAAUAGUGUGCAAAAAGUUUCAGAACAUUUUAAUGUUCCUCUAAAAAAAUUGAAAAUUGACACGCUACAGCCAAAGUUUCUGUUUCUGCACCGCACAUACCAACAAGCAAUUUAAUCAUCUUAAAGGAAAACCUUGGCACAAUAAUUUUACAAUAGAAAGGAUUUGUACAAGGGGAUAAUUAUUUUUGUUGGAAAGUUUCUAUAAUUAAGAUUCACAAAGUUUCCAUGCGCAUGAACAAAGUUCAAGGAGCUCUCCCACUUCAACAAUGCUUGUCUUUCUCACUUUCACUUUUCUUUUUGUGAAGUUUUAAGUUCCCCACUAUAUUUUUUUGUUUUUAAACUUUAUAAAAGCACUCAACAGAAAUAAAUGACUCUCUAAAACUUCUGGGUUGUCUCCCUCGCAGUGCUUUCUUUAAAUCCAUUAAGCUAGGCAUGAAGUGCUCAAGUAAUGGAUCCACCCGGAUCCCAAGGUAUAUCAAAGUCAAUUUUAAUUAGCAAUUGUCAUUUAGUAGUGAUCACAAAGCAACAUAUAUCAUGCAGUGACAAAGUCUAACCCUCUUCCUAUGUAUCGACAUGUCAUACAAGAACAAUUCAUGCACAUCAAAUAAAGGCCAAUACAUAGCAUAAGCAGUUUCUUGCCAUUUUAUCGUGUUGGAAACAUAAAGGGGUGGAGAUGUAGUUCCUCUCUCAUAAUAAUUGCAAGUAGGAGCAGCAAGCACAUGCAUGUUACAUUCAUCAAAAUUAUCAUGUGCAACAGUAAAAGGCAACCCAUCAACAUAAUCCUUAAUAAGUGCAAACUUCUCCGAUAUAGUGUAGGUUGGAGAAUUCGAAAAAAUAUUAGGACUAUCAAGUGUGGGUGCAACAGCAACAAUUUCAUUCUUAAUAUAAGAAACCAUAGCAAGUUCAUCUCCAUAAGCAUAGUUCAUGUUGACAUCAAGGCCGGAAGCAUAGCAAGCAUCAAGUUCAUAAAAAAUGGAUAUUUCAAACGAAUCAGCGGGAUCAUAGCAAUUAUCAUAACAUUCAUCCUCCGGUAAGAACGAAGGGGCAUUAAAUAAUGUAUGAGUUGAAGAGUUACUCUCAUUAUAAGGUGGGCAUGGGUAGCUAAUCCGCUCUUCCUCCUGUUGUUCUUUGAUCUCCUCAUCAUCUCUUUCAUCCAAUGAGCUCACAAUUUCAUGAAUUUCUUCUUCCAUAGACUCCUGCAAAAUAUUAAUCUCUUCUUGGACAGAGGAGAAGUCCUCGAUAUAUGGUUUAAUAUAAGCAUUAGAAGAAUAAUGUUCAUAUCAAUAUUUAAGUACGAAAAAAAAA
This 48132-nucleotide long non-coding RNA is filed under the name Triticum aestivum (bread wheat). RNAcentral describes it as "long non-coding RNA (TAES_LNC022514)". The record is from RNAcentral. Lineage: Eukaryota; Viridiplantae; Streptophyta; Magnoliopsida; Poales; Poaceae.